AACCACUUGAGCUUCUCCUGAUUGCAUUGAUCCCUUAUCAGGCUCUGCCUUGGUUGUAUCUCUUCCUUCCUCAUCCUGCAGCAGUGAAUGUUGGUUAUCAGUAGGACUAAAUCUUUCAACUUUGACAAUGUUCUCAAAAGGUACCUUGGUUGUAUCCCUCUCUUCCUUGUCUUGACACUCUAAACAUGACGGCAGGGCCGAAUGUUCAUUACCACUAAGACUAGCUCUUUUAAACUCGACAAUUUUUUCAAAAGGUGCCUUCUUUUUAUCUCUUCCUUCCUCAUCUUGCAGCUCUAAAAGUGAAGGCAGGGCAAAAUUUUCAUUAUCAGUAGGACUAACUCUUUCAACCUUGACAAUUUUUUCAAAAGGUGCCUUGGUUGCCUCUCUUCUUUCCUUGUCUUGCAGCCCUAAAAGUGAAGGCAGGGCAGAAUGUUCAUUAUAAGUAGGACUAACUCUUUCAACCUUGACCAUUUUUUCAAAAGGUUUUCUAUUCCCUUCUGCUCCUGAAGAUGAAGAUGAAGAUAAAGAGUCUAUCUUGCCAGUCAGAGUCAAUUUUGAUUCUUUGAUGCGCCGUUUACGUGCAGCUUUCUGAGCAAAAUCACACAGUUUUUGAUUAACAUCACAGAAUCCACCUUUUGCCUGUCUGACAGCAUUUAAAUUAGAGUCAGAAUGAUUUCGCCUCUGAUUGGAGACCAGCGGUAUGUCUCAAACUAGCAGGACUAGCAUCGCAAUUCCCAACUUCUAAAUCAUAAAGAGUAGCCAACACAGAAUCAGAAUUACAGAGAAGUGAGCAAAUUACCUGAACCUUAAUCAUGUCUAGAUUGUGUCUCCUCUUACCAGCAGUCUUCAAAGACAAAUUUUGGAUAACAUUUUUGUCGUUGGUAGUAAAGCCAGGUUCUUUGGUUUCCUCCUUACUGGCACUUUUCAAGUCAAAGCUGCUCAUUAUUUUCUUAUACGCAGCAUGGCCAGCUUCCAGUGUCAAACAGUCUGGACUGGAGUUGGAGUCUUCAGCAUUACCAUUUGUAAGCUGUUCAUAAUUAGAGCAGGGAGUUAAAUGCAAAAGGAGACUAACUAUGAAUAGCUAUGAAGAAGUACUUGGAUACUUGUAUAGAAAUAAGAAAAAAGAUAUACAAAAUACAAAACUUAUACAUCCAUGCACUCAAACACCAACAUGAAGUUUCAAUAGUUCCAUUAGCCCUUUCAGAACAUGUGCUAACAGAAGUUGAAGCAUAAAAAGAUACAGCCAGUCAUACCUUAAUUGUUUCUGAAUGGUUUGAUUUAUUCGCUUGAAGCAUCAAAGAUGCAUUUAAGGUCACACCAUUUUCUGUGGGAGUUAUACAGCAUUCUUGAAUUUCCUCUUUUAUGGGGACAAAAGAAUCAGACUGACUCAAUUUUAUGCUCUCAUCCAAAGGUUCAGCUGCAUGCUCCGGAGAGGCAACUACACCCAGAGUCUGCUCAUUUGAAGGUUAAACAUACAGUAUCACAUGUCAGCUCCUGGAAGAAAAGGAAAAACAUGCAGGUCUUGAAGAAUAACAUAUGAGAGUUACAUCAAAUGGAAAUGAAGGGAGGGAAAAUCAAUACGCUGAGAAAACAUAAUGAGGUUAGACAUUACAAAAUUAGAGUAAUCCUACUCAUGGAAUGAUAUAAUUAUCAGCAAUCUACUAUUGAUUCAAUCCAUUAGACCAUAGGUAUUAAAAUUCUAUUCUCGUUUCUUCUUAGAGGUACAAAAAAAUGGAAAGGAAAAAAAUGGGGGAAAAGUUCUAGCUUGAUAUUAUGGAACUUUUACACGACGCAGAAACAAUACUUUGCUUAAGAACAGAGUGGAAAAAAGUGAGAAUCUGCAAAAUAUAUCAUGGUCGGUGCUUGUUAAUUUAAAGUUGGAAUCACUCACACACAAAGAGCAUAAAAAUGGUAGAUAACUUGAAUGAGCCUGUAAAGGCUUCCAAUAUCCCCAUUCACAGUUGUCACACACUAGAAAAUUAAGAAAUGACUAAUAAAGAGUUUUCGAGGAUGAACCUGCUUGUCUUUCUCUUGGAAGUAAUCAUUGAGUAGAUCCUUUACUAUUUCAUGUAUUUUCUUUAACUUGUAAAUUAAAGCGCAAUUGAUCAUAAUACAAAUUAAAAUUAAAAUUAACAUUAAAAUUCAGCUCACAUUAGAUUUCAAAGAAAAAAAAAACCAAAAAAAAAAAAUUGCAAGUGAUAAACAGGAAGAAUGUGCAUAAAACAGAGAUAAAAUGCCGGAAAAUUGGGGGAAUGUGGCUUUCUAGGAAGCCAAACAGUACGAAAUGAGAGUACCUGAAGUUAUUGCUCCCCUCAGAUUGAGCUAAAACGAUAUUAUGACACACAUUUCUAGGGUUUCGAGAUCUUGAAUCAGAUUGGGAAAGUGAAAUUAGUGAGUGAAAUUUUGUUUUCUGAAAGCAGGCUAAAGAUUGAGGUAAUUUGUGAUUUUGUUGAGGGUAAUAUUGGAAAUGAGUGACACGUAAUUGGACAAAGGGAUCCUUGUGUCCUCGCGCGUUGAAGCCAGCUACUGUCAUUGUGGGGCCCUUCUUUGACUCAUUGGACUUUUUUUCGUUUUGUUUUGCAUGCAAAAUUGGCGCGGCCGAAACCGUUGAUUCGUUGACUUGCCAAAUCGCCAAAUCCUAUUGGUAAAAGAAGAAACGUUUCGUAUAAUGAAACUUUUUAAGGGCUGAACAAGAAGCACUUUUGGUUCAAGAAAAGCAGUUAUCAAGAGCAAACAACAACAUUCCGAAAAUUAAUCUGACACUGGUCUAUGAAAACCGUUGGUUUCAUUGGCAGUUACAAUAUAAUAUCUUUUCUUUCCUAUUGCAAGUACAAAUACAGGGGCGGACUCAGGAAUUUGUAUUACCCCAGGCUAAAUUAAAAAAAUUUAUAUUUUAAAGUGAGCAUAAAAAUUCAUAAGUAGAAAAAAGUGCAUCAAAUAAGGGGGACACGAAAAAUCUUAUCCUUAUAAAUGCGUACUUUAAACAAAAAUGGUUAUAUAAAAAGAGUAGAAAAUAAAGGUAAUUAAAAAAUAAAAACAUUAUUUUAUAAUUAUGGAAUCUGACUCUAAUAAAAUGUAAUUAUACAAGAAUUAUAUAAGGAUUAAUAUAUUAAUUGAGGAUUUUAAGCUGAAAUAAAUGAAUACAUGCAAUCACAAUCAAUUAAAAAUUGCCAGUAAAACUUUAAUGUCUGAAGUCAAGUACUUAAUUACGAGGUUUUAAUAAAUUAAACAAUUCAAAUUUAUUCCUCUUUUUAAAUUAUAAAAAUAUUAUUAGUCAAAAGCUUCAAUAAUAAACUAAACUCAACCCAACAAAAAUGUAUUUUGGGUGUCGUCGUUUCUUUGCCAGGCGCUCUGACUCUCUUUGAAGAACCAGUUGAUGAUUUUUCUAUCAAAUUAAAGCUCCUCAAAAUAUUCAAAUUUUAUCUUAGUUAAUGUAACUAAUAAAUAAAAUCUCAAAAUUCACAUAAAAAGUUUAUGAAAAUGUUGACAAUUGUUACUAUAUGUUGUUUUUUUUAAGUAGUUUAAUACUAGUGACAGUUUUAUAUUAGAUUGAUAUACUUUUUUAAUUAGAAGGUUUUUUAAAUAAAUUAAAGUAAUAACAUUUUACCCCCUAAUGUUUUUAUUCUAUAUAAUAAAUAUAUAAUUUACUCAUUUUAUAAAAUAAGUCAUUAAUUUCAAUUGGAAAAAAAAAUUAAAUUAAGGACAUAUUUCAAAUAAUUGAUCCACGGCUGUAAAUAAUUACCGAGAAAAGCAUCAAAUAAAGUUUCGUAGUUCGCUGGAUAUCUACUCUACAGCCAGCAACAACAAAAAUAUUAGCAAUUAAAUUAAAAUAAAUAAAUAAGUGGAAGAAAAAAGAACAAAGAAAAAUGAUAUCCAGCCAAUUGCCUCUUGAGUUAUAUUCUUCACUUAAAACCAUGCAAUAAUACGUAAGAGACUAAAAGAAUGGUGUUAAGUAUCCAUGUUCUAGAAAAGAACUCGCACUGGACGGAAAGGGGGGUUGCCAUUGAAUAGAGUGGCAAGAUGGUAACAAUCUCAUUUAAAACCAUUCUUUUGGUCUCAUUUGAGUUAUAUUCUUCACUUAAAACCAUGCAAUAUUUAAGUGUAUUUAAGAAUAUAACUCAAAUGAGACUAAAAGAAUGGCGCAGUCUAAAUUUUUAUUUUCAUAUUGAGAUAUAUGAACAAACAUCUCUCCUCUUGUGCUAUGUGCUCGAACAAGGUUUCACUCCGUAAGGAACAUGAGUACUUGUCGAUGUGAAUUCAGCCUUGUAACAAAAAUUUGGAUUAUUCCAAGCUCUAAAACGCCUACCCAUUUUUUCAUAAAACCCAUCUGAGAUUUCAAGUUUCCCUGCAAAUUGUUCCCAUGAAGCUAAAGAGCCUCAAUGCUGGGCAUAAUUGCCGUUUUGAAAAUAUAUAUAUAUAUAUAUAUACAAACAUUAAGUAAAAUUAAGUUCAAGUAACAAUAAUAUUUUUUACAAAUAAAAAAAUUACAAAAUUAAAAAAAUGGCGAUGAACAUGUAUAUAUAUAUAUAUAUACACCUGCGAAGAGAGUGGAGAUCGAGAGGUGAAGAAGAAGAAGGAGUAGCAGUGGCUUCCACUUCUACUUCCAUGGCGUCUCCGUAUUCCAUUUUUGUCAAAAUUUGAUUUUUUUUUUCUUUUUUUCACUCGGAAUUCACAUUAAACACUGUUUUUUUGAGGGAAAUUUUAAAAAAUGGGAAAAAACACGAGAGCUCAGAACAUGGGCUGGGCUUCUUUUAAGAUUGGAUUUAUAAUAAGCCUAUUGUUUUUUUAUUGGUGAAGUCAAAAUUUUGGACAACUUUUUAUUUAGAUUAUGUUUCGGAGCUUGGAUAAAUUAUGGGAUUGGAUUAGAUUUUGGAAUUAAUAAAUAGAAGGUUACUGUUGGCACUAUAAUUAAAUUUCAAAUCUACAGAAAGUCUGAAUUUAUAUAUUUUAUAGCAGAGUCUAGGGGUCUAUCAACCAUUGUUUGAAAAUCUUCACUAACAAAAUAGCGAGACUUCUAUCUUACUGCAAUACAUGGGCAUAAUUAAUGCACUCUCUUCGACAGUAUCCAAAUGCUACAAAAUUAAUAAUCAAAUAUUCAAAGCCCAAACCUAAAUUUUUUUAAUUAAGAGACAUGAAUUACAUCCCUAGCAAUAAAUUAGAGGAAAAAAUUACAUCAGAACUUACAUGCCUUCAAGUACUUACGUAUUAUUGCAUGGUUUUAAGUGGUUAUUUCCAUCAGAACUUACAUGUAAGAGACUAAAAGAGUGGUGUUAAGUAAGCAUACUCUGGGGAAUGAAAAACUUAACACCAUGCAAUAAUACGUAAGAGACUAAAAGAGUGGUGUUAAAAAGAGUGUUACGAGCAAUAAACACAUGUGAUAAAUAAAGACAAUCUCACGUGCAUUUUCAACAAAUGUUCGAACUACGAAACUUUAUUUGAUGCUUUUCUCGGUAAUUAUUUACAGGCGUGGAUCACAUGCUUGCUGUGAUGGCGAGCAUUUUUGAAUGGUAAUGACUUGUGGUUUAAUUUGGGGUUUUGCUAAAUUAUACUAACUCGGAAUUAAUUUUUUUGUAUGGCUCAUUAUUGUUGCUUUGUUAAAUAAUUAAAGAGCUAUGGGAGAUUAAUUUUAGAUUAACUGUCAGUUACAGUGAAUUUUGUUGUGCUUUCCCUUGUACAGUGGCGCAUAAUUGCAUACGUGUUAAAUUAUUUAUUAACUAAGAGCAUGACAAUAUUAGAAAAGAAGGAGAGAAAAUAAAUAGAAGACAUGAUAUUUAGAGAUGAGUUUUAUUCAAUCUCAAACAUGUACAAAUAAGGAGAUGAGCUCUCAUUUUGUAAUCACAUAACCGUGUAAAUGAAGUAAAUAAUUCGUAAAUAAAUAUAUCAUUAGACAUAAGUUCUUUUAAGAUAGUGAAAAUUAUAAGAAAUGAAGAGUUGUUUGAUGUGAAGAUAAAAUAUUCUUUGAUGAACAUCUACAUAAAUUAUGAUUAUUUGAUAACAUUUCUCCUUGGAUGUUCAUCCUAAAAAGAAUAUGCUUCAUUGAAACCUUUGCUGGUAAAAACCUUAUGAGAAAUAGACUAACGAAGGAAAAGGAAUACACUAUUCAUUUAUACCUUAUAGAGGUAGGGGUACAAUCUGCCUUGUUAAAACUUUAAUAAGAAAAUCCAAUGGGACAAAAACUUAAUGAAGGAAAAAGAAUAUAGUGCAUGGAGCCUUCUAUAUCCGUAACUCCCUUCUCUUCAAUAAGGACACUUUCCCUCAAAGUGACAUGGGUGCUUCAAUGAUCAAUCGUAUUUUAUUGUAAUACCUUGGUUAAAUAAUCUACAAGAUCAACACAUCUUUUGAAAGCUUGAAUAUAUAAUAUAAAACCGUCAUAUUGAUUGAAGAAUAUCUCCAUGCAUAUAUCUUCAUAAUUUUGUUAAUCUUCUCAAGUAAAACUAAGCUUUAGCAUGCAUAUACAAGAAAAUUGUGUAAUAUAUCUUUCACACUAUUUUGACAUUUUUAUGUUUAUGUUGAACAUAAUGUAAUUUACAAUUAUGCAAUUUUCCAAUGCCUUUUGUAGACACAAGUUGGAAUAAAAUAUGGUUCUUCGGGACUAAGAUGUAUACAAUAAAUUCUAAAAUAGAACAAUUAUUGAAGUGAAAUACUUCUGAUAUUUCUAUUAUAUCAGAAUUCUAUGUAAUAAAUUUCAAUAUAUAAGUUGAAAAAGAUUACGUCAUUUCAAGAUUUUUCAUCUGGAAUCUUAUUCAUUCUUAAAAGAAUAAAAUCAUAAGCUCUUCAAGAGUAUUUUCCAUUUUUAGAUCAUCAACAUAUUUUGCAAAGAUUGCAAAUCUAAAUUUUAAUUUUUAAUAAAAUCACAUAGCGAAGUGGAUAACAGCAUAUCAAGCUUUUAACAAAUUUCACUAAAGUGAUUAUACUUUAUAAGUCUAGAUAGCUAUAACAUACACAAUCAUGAUUAUAGCCCUAUCAAGAAUAUAUAAAGUGCAAGUUUUUUUAUUUAAUACUUCAAGUACUUGUUUCUAACAUUUUAUCCUUCAAAUAUAAGUACAUAGAUUCUUUAAUUUGACUUUGACAUAGCAUAGUUUAGAUACAAGUUUUAUUAGAAAUUUUAUGGCUUCAGGUGUAUGGACUAUAUGUUAAAAAUUUUAUAUUUUUUUAAUUAAUUUUAUGUCUUCUAACAGAUGGACCACAUGUCAAAAUUUUGGCUAAUCACAUAAAUCGAUAUUCUUUUAUAUUUUUGUGAUUUAGGAUCUUGAAUAUUUUAUCAUAACAACUAAAUUUUUAUUAACAACAAUCUUAUGCCAAUUUCAAAUUUUCUCUUGCACCAAGUACCAACAUACUAGUGAUUAAAUAUUGUUUAUUUGUCAAUAUAUGUGCCCAAUGAGAUAUUUUGAAGCUUCUAAUAAAUAUGUCUCUGCAAGGGUUAAAACUCUCUUUUAAUUUCCAAGCAUGUCUUUUAUAGGACAAUUUGGAUAUCUUUAUUCCUCACCGUUUACCUAUUCAAGAGUAUUUAAGAUUCAUUUUCUAGUUAGUAGGGGCUAUAUAUUCAAUCACUUAAUAAAGAUCAAAUAUUUUGCUAUACAUGCGAACAUGGUCUCUGUAGAGCAUUGAAUUAUUUUGUUUUAACUUCCCGAGAAUUAAAUUCUUGCAUCAAUUGAUUUAUCACAUGCUUCAAGCGUUUAUAUAUUUAAUUAUUUGUCUCAUCAUUUUGUUCUUCAAGGACAUCAUAUAUAUCAACCCACAAUCAUAUUUUAUUUGUGAUUUUUCACUUUCAUAUAUCAACAAAUUCAUUCAAUAAUCGAUCAACAAUUCACAUUGUAUAAUAUCCCUUUUGAAUUUCAAGUUCAAAUUACAUAAAUAUUAAGACGAGGUAAAGUGAUAUAUAGUAUGAUCAUAAAAUCAAAUCAUCCAUCAUGUAUAGCUUUUCUAUCCCUUGUGAUGGGAAGACCUUUUCAUAAAAUAUUUAUGCAUAACUAAUGGUGAAUCAUAACAAAUAAUAAAUUGCUUCUAUAAAUUCAUCUUCACUUGAUUUAAACAAAAAUAAAAAAUCAAGACAAUCUGCUACCUCUUCAUUAAAAUUCUUCUGAAUUUUAUAUAAUUUGAUACAUAAUCAUUAGCCUGAUUUACAAAUUUACCAUUUGAGCUUCAUCAUUUCAAACUACGUAAGAAACUCUAGAAUUAUUGAAGUUUCAUCUCAAAGUUUUUCAAUUUCUAAUUCGUUCUACUUCGUGUGGUGCUAUAUAUAUAUUGCAAUCAUAAAUACUUAAAUGUUGAUCUCUGCAAUGUCAAUAAAUUUAAUCAUGGCAUGUCUUCCACUAAUCCCACAAUUAUCAAAUAAACAUUCGCUUCAAGGAAUGUUACUGCUGGGGCAUAAAUGAGCUAUAAAAUAUUUGCGCAUACCACAUGUUCUCUUUAAAUAUACUCUUGAUGAUUUUCUCCUCAUAUACAUAUAAAAACAAGAAAAUCAAAUCAUGAACUUUUGUUUGAUCUUUCAGUGAUCGCAUGUUUUCUUUUACUUGUUUCAAAGAAACAAAUUAUCCAUUUGGAUAUUCAAUUUUCGCUCCUUCAAGGAGAUAAAAUAAAUGACCAUUUUAAUUCAAUCCUUGAACAUCUUCCAUAUAUUAUGUUAUUUUUCCUUCAAAUUUUUUUUGAAACAACCAAUUAUGCCUUAUUUAUAUAAUCAUUUUGUAACUCGUUCUGGAGAUAUGGAGAAAGAAAUUCAUAUAUAAUCUUAUACGACAUAUACAUAAACUUAUAAUAUUUGUUUAGUCCUUAAGGAAGUAAGAUAUACACUUAAUAGUGAAUCCUUCGUAAAAUAUGUUUCUGAGGAAUUAUUCUAAAAUUAUGAUGUUAUUCACUACUGAUAUCUGUUUGAAUUGGACAGGCCACCUGAUAGCCAGGAGUAAUGUAUACAGCUUUGGAGUUGUUCUUCUAGAGCUACCGACAGGAAGGAAGUCCAUUGACAAGACAAGACCAAGCAAAGAGCAAAGCUUGGUAGAUUGGGCCCGGCCGAAACUAAAUGACAAGAGAAAAAUGCUGCAUACAUUCACACUUCAGGAUGAAAUUAUUUUUUUUGUUUCAAUAUACUGUCUAUAUAAUAGCAAUUCAAUAUUAGAAUAGGAAAUAGCAAUAUAAAUGAAUGGAACGAUAGAUAAAUCCAAUUACCAUAACGGUUAAUAAAGAAGCGAUUUCAUAGAUUCAUUCUCUUAAAUCAUAGAAAAACAUAUAAAUAUAAUUUUAGACAAAAUCUAAAUAGUUCAAUUCAUACCUUUAUGAUUAAGAUCAAAAGAGAGAAAUUUACCGUACUACCUUUUUCGCUAAGAAUCGUAUUGAUGCAUGUUAAAUUAUUUAUCAAUUAAGAGUUCAACAAUAUAGCAAGAGAAAGAGAGAAGCAAAUAAGAGACAUGAUGUCUAGCGAUGAAGUUUAUUCAAUCUCACGUAUAUACAAACAAGGAGAUGAGUCAUCCUUUUAUAGUCACAUAACCAUAUAAAUGAAGUAAACGAUUAGUAAAUGGAUAUAUCAUUAGUUAUAAGUUCUUAUAAGAUAGUAGAAGUUAUAAGAAAUAAAAAGUUGUUUGUUGGGGAGAUAAAAGGUUGCUUUGAUGAACAUUUACAUAAAUUAUAAUUAUUCUCUCUCUCUUUCUCUCUCUCUCUCUAUAUAUAUAUAGAGACAAAGAGAGAAAAUUUUCAAUUCAUGAUUUUAAAGUGCGGGAACUACUAUAUAUAUAUAUAUAUAUAUAUGUAUGUAUGUGUGUGUAUGUAUGUAUGUAUGUAUGUGUGUGUGUAUGUAUGGAUGUAUGUAUAUUGGCAAGACAAAUGACGUUUAUAAUUAGAAAAUAUUGCUCUCCCAAUAUCCUGCAUAACAAUUGUAGCAAUCCAAAGUUGUCUGUUUAAUUACACAAUAGUUCAAAGAUGAAAAUGCUUAUAUCUCAAAAAGAAAAUUAAUGAGAAGAAAAGAGACAAGUUUAAUAUGUGGCCUUUUUUUUUUAAUUGUGAACUUAAUUAAUUUAAUUUCAAUCAGUUAAGUCAUUAAAAUCUGUUCAUUUUUUCAACUUAUUAAAAGUUUUCAAUUAUUAAACCAAUUUUUUCCUUUUCGCUUUUUACUUAAUCUAAAAAAUCUGAAGAUAUUGUCUGAAAUAUCUCAAUUUAAUAAAUCUAUUUUCAUCUAAAUAAAAUUUAAUCAGGGGCAAAGCCAAAAAAAAAUUGGGUGGGCUAAAUGUUUUCCAAAGUCCAAAUAUUAUCACAAUUAAGAGUGUAAAACUUAAUAAAAAGUUCAUUAAUAUAUAAGAAAAUAAAUCGAAUCCCAAAAGUAAUUCAAUUACAAUUAAAAAUUCCUUAGGUUGUACCUUACGAUACUUUCGAGCAUUAAAUUUAUCUAUUAUUGAAUUUGAAUCGAUAGUGUCUACAAUUCUCUUUUAUACAAUCUGAUAUAAACUCCUUCUCCAUCUUAUUUUGAAGUGCUGUCUUGAUUACCCACUAAACCAGGCCAUUUGAUUCAGCUCUUAGAUUUCUUCUUUUCUUUCAUAGAAACAACUAUCUCUAAUAUAUGAUCUAUCAAUAAUCAAUUUAAAAAUUUAAUUGCUAGAAUUCAAUGAUUUGACCUAACAAUAAUUUAAUCUUAUGCAAUAAAAUUAGAAUAAGAACUAACUAAAGUCUUUACUACCAUACAAUUAAUAAAUAUAUUGUAAAUAAUUAAAUAAAAAAUAAUUUUAUUAUAUGUUUUUACCAACAAAAGAUAAAUAACUGAAGAAGAAGCAGAGCACGUCAACACCAAGAACCCAAGAAACAAAGAGAGCAGGUUUUGAAAGAACAAAGUAAAUGCUCACUUUUACUAAUUUAUUUAUAUGAAGGACAAAGUUGCAAAUUAAUGGAAUGAUAAAGUUGUAAAUAAAAGAAAGGGUAAUGAGAAUUUUGUAAACUUUGCACAAUGGUAUUUUUGGAAAUUUAUCAAAAUUUUGGACGGGCUGCAACCCACAAGUAGCUCCGCCCAUGAAUUUAAUAAUUAGCAUUAUUAUUCAUUUCUAUAAACUAUGAUAAUAGAGUAGUAGAUUAUUACUAUUUGUAUCUUUUUAUUUUCUUCAAAGAAUUAUUUAUCUCCAUAAUUUUUAUAAAAAUUUUCAUAUAACCCAUCGUAAACUGUAAUAAAAUUGAUUUACAUGUUUUAAUUCAUAAUUUUAAAGGAUUAUUUUCACUUCAACAUCAUUUAUGUAAUGAUGAAAAUAUAAAUAUUAUUUUCUUCAUCAAGAUAUUUAUUACUUCUUUAGCAUUUAAAAUUUGUAAGAACACAAAUGUAAAUGUACAUGUUUUCUAACUUUUAUGUUGAGGAGAAAAAAAAAAAAGCCUUACAUUUAGUAAAUCAAAUUUAAUUUUGUCGGUACAUGAUUCAAAAUUUACUUUCAUGACAUCGAAUUACACUCCCCAUUACAUCAUUAAAACACAUAAUCUACCUCUAUUCCACUAGAAAUUUAUUUUUUCGAAGGCCUAUUGACCUGGACGAAGACCUGUUGAGAAGAACAUUUUAGCUACUUCAGAGGAGAGUCUAAAUCAAGAGGCAAUUGGCUUCUGCUUAGACCACACGGUGGACAACCAUACAGGAAACAUGAUUAGAUAAAAGGACUAAUGAAUGGUGUUGAAGUUGUUCCCUCAAAAAUUGGGUAACUGCAAUCUUCUGUCAGCACUUUCUGAUCAUUUUCUUUGUUUAAAACGACUAAUGAAUGGUGAUGAAGUUGUUCCCUUAAAAAAUGGGUACCUGCAAUUUUCUGUCAGCACUUUCUGAUCAUUUUCUUUGUUUAAAAGGACUAAUGAAUGGUGUUGAAGUUGUUCUCUUAAAAAAUGGGUACUUGCAAUUUUCUGUCAGCACUUUCUGAUCAUUUUCUUUGUUUACCGUUUUUCCCCGGCAAAGAUCACAUGCAUGUUGAUUGUAUGACUUCCUUUAUCCACACUAUGUAUUGUUGUUGUCUGUUUGGGAUUCGCCAGAGGAUUUUCUUGGCUUAUGUCAUCUCAGACCGUCAUAUGCUAACCAUAAUCAAUGCUCACAAUGAAGACUUUUCUAAGCUUCAAUAAUUGAUGCUUAUUAUACAGAUUAGCAUAAAUUGGCAUGGAUUCGAGGAUUUGCGAUAUAACAACAUAUCCUGAAAGCUUACGAUAAUUACAAUGUUAUCCAAAAUGUUCCCUAUACUUGAAUACGUAGCUUUGCUUUCUGUGAUAUUGUUUCAAUUGGAGCCUAGAAUUGCUGAUUCUAACAACACAGUAAUGAGGUGCAUUGAUGAGGAGAGAGAAGCACUUCUCACUUUUAAACAGAGCCUGGUGGAUGAAUAUGGUGUUCUGUCUUCCUGGGGAAAAGAUAAUGACAAAAGAGAUUGCUGUAAAUGGAGAGGAGUCCGUUGUAGCAAUAAAACUGGCCAUGUCAAGGUGCUCAAUCUUCGAAGAUCCGACGAUGAAAAUUCUCGAGGGACAGUCUUGAAAGGUACAAUUAGCCCUGCUUUGCUUAAAUUGCAUGAUUUAAGACAUUUGGACCUUAGUAACAAUCACUUCGGUGGAAGCCCACUUCCUGAGUUCAUUGGUUCCCUCAGUAGAUUGAGGUACCUCAAUCUCUCUUGUGGUACAUCUUUAUUAAAAGUACCUCGUCCAUUCCAGUACCUUUCAGGAUUGGUAUAUCUUCACCUAGAAAACUCUAAUUUAUUUAGUUUGGGAAGCCUACAGUGGCUUUCUCAUCUUUCUUCUUUAAGGCACCUAGACCUGAGUUACAUUAAUCUCACUAAAUCUAGUGAUUGGUUUCAAGUAGUUGCCAAGCUCCAUUCCCUAAAAACAUUAGUCCUACACUCAUGUGCUCUUCCACCUAUCAAUCCUUCAUCUAUUUGGCACUUCAAUUUGAGUACGUCUAUUGAGACCCUUGAUCUCUUCGACAACAGUCUCCCUUCUUCAUCAGUAUACCCUUGGCUUUUCAAUCUUAGUCGGAAUAUUCAAUAUCUUAACCUUGGCUUUAACUCAUUACAAGGUUCAAUUCCAGAGGCUUUUCAACUAAUGGUUUCUCUUAGAUUUCUCUAUCUCACCUCUAACGAACUUGAAGGUGGGAUUCCAAAAUUCUUCGGAAAAAUGUGUAGCUUAAAUAGAUUAUGCUUGCCUUACAAUAAACUCAGUGGAGAUCUCUCGGAGAUGAUUCAAAAUCUGUCUGGUGGAUGCACGAUGAAUUCACUGGAGGGUGUAUGUUUAGAAGGCAAUGAUAUCACAGGGCCAUUACCUGAUCUUGGAGGUUUUUCAUCCCUAAAAAUAUUAGUACUUGGAGAAAAUCGAUUAAAUGGAACAAUAGACAAAAGCCUCAGCCAGUUGUUGAAGCUCGAGUCUCUGUCACUUGGUAGGAAUUCAUUCACAGGUGUUAUCUCUGAAACCUUUUUUUCCAAUAUGUCCCACUUGCAGAUGUUGUACUUGAAUGAUAACUCUUUGACUUUGAAAUUGAGCCAUGAUUGGGUUCCUCCUUUUCAACUGAAAUCGUUAAGUCUUGCCUCUUGCAAGAUGGGACCUCAUUUUCCAAAAUGGCUUCAAACUCAAAAUCAACUUAUUUCCCUUGAUGUCUCCAAUAAUGGAAUCUCGGAUGCUGUCCCUGAUUGGUUUUGGGAUCUGUCUAUUGAACUCGUUUUUUUAAAUCUCUCUAACAACCAGAUCAGGGGUAAACUUCCUGAUUUGUCUUUUUUAAGAUAUGAUGAUAUUGUUAUAGACGUCAGUUCAAACCACUUUUGUGGCCCAAUUCCACCACUUCCGUCAAAUUCUACAUUCUUGAAUCUCUCAAAAAAUAAGUUCUCAAGAUCAAUUACUUUCUUAUGUUCUAUUGUAAAAAACACAUGGAACUUUUUUGAUCUCUCGAGUAACUUAUUAUCUGGAGGGCUUCCCGAUUGUUGGUUGAACUUUGAUAGCCUAUCCAUUCUUAAUUUGGCAAACAAUAGCUUCUCCGGGAAAAUUCCAGACUCGAUGGGCUUCCUCCAUAAUAUCCAAACACUGAGUUUACACUCCAAUAGGUUAACCGGGGAGUUGCCUUCAUCUUUAAAAAAUUGCUCACAACUGAGAGUUUUGGAUCUUAGGAAGAAUGCAUUGUACGGUGAGAUACCAACCUGGAUAGGGGGAAGUCUUCAAAAUUUGAUUGUUCUUAGCUUGAAAUCUAAUAAUUUUCAUGGAAAUAUACCUUUUCAGUUAUGCCAUCUGGCGUUCAUUCGAGUUCUGGAUCUCUCUUUAAACAAUAUAUCGGGAAAGAUACCAAAAUGUUUCAAUAAUUUUUCAGCCAUGACCCGAGAAAAAAGUUCCAAUCCUAUCAUUGGGUUGGCUGACAAAAUCUGGAUUUUCCCUAGAUAUGUAUAUAGGUAUAGUUAUUUGGACAAUGUUCUGUUGACAUGGAAAGGAAGUGAACACGAGUACAAAAGUACUUUGGGACUUGUAAAAUGUCUUGACCUUUCGAGUAACAAACUACAUGGAGCAAUUCCUGAAGAGAUUAUGGAUCUUGUGGGGUUGAUUGCUUUAAACCUUUCAAGAAACCAUUUAACUGGACCAAUCACUCCAAAGAUUGGUCAGUUAAAUUCAUUGGAUUUCCUUGAUUUAUCUAGAAACCAGUUUUCCAGAAGCAUUCCGUCUAGCCUUUCUCAACUAAAUGGUCUUAGUGUCUUGGACUUGUCGUCCAACAACUUGUCAGGAAAAAUCCCAUUAGGUACUCAGCUUCAAAGCUUCAAUGCUUCGGUGUAUGCUGGAAAUCCUGAACUUUGUGGCCUUCCACUUCCAAACAAAUGUCCGGAUGAAGAAUCAACUCCAUUGCCAGGCAGAAAUGAUGGUGCAAACACUCUAGAAGAUGAGGAUGAUCAGUUUAUGACUCUCGGAUUUUACGUGGGCUUGAUUCUUGGUUUCUUUGUUGGAUUCUGGGGUGUCUGCGGAACUUUAAUGCUGAAUAGGUCGUGGAGACAUGGUUACUACAACUUCUUGACUGGUAUGAAAGAUUGGCUUUAUGUGACAGCAGCUUUGAAUAUUGCCAAACUGCAAAAGUUCAGGAACUAAUUAAACGGUAAUACUCCUAAGUGUAUAGUGUAUUUUAGUAAAGAUUAUUGGCUUUCACAUAUGCUUUUAAUUUCUUCAUCCUUAGACUUGACUCUUUCCUCUUACAAGAUUUUGUUUAUCAAAUCAAUUGUUACUAUUUUUUUGGCAGGGUCUCCCGGUGAUGGCAUCUUGUCAUUAAUUUUCAGAGUACUCAUUUCAUUUUUGGAAACUUUCUAAAAAUAAAGUUGUGCUCCCAUAUGAUGCUCAUUGUAUUAUUGAGUAUAUGCCUAAAGAAACUUGGAUGUGUUUCUCUUUAGUCCAUCAUCGAUUUAUGCGUUUAUUAAUUAUAUGCUCUUGUUCGGAGAAAUUCUAGAGUAAAUCAGAGGUAUUACACCCAAUUAGAGUUUAAUUAUACUACUAAUUGGAAUAAAGACGGUCAAAUUCUGCUCUGUUGUUGAUUAGUGUUAGAAUUUUUAUUUCUUGGAUUUUUGUGUGCCUUACACCUCUUUAUUAGUAUUGAAUAAACUUCUAACAAUAAAAGAGAGAUCUCGCUACAGGAUGUUCAGUGAACAUAAGCAUAAAGCUAAAACACGCUACAUAAAAAUUAAAAUAUCUAAGGUGCAUUUGUACUUUGUAGAGAAUACACGCUUAAUUUAAAAUUCUAGUUGUAUGAAACAUGUUAUAGAAUUUUCUAGACGACAUGGAUAUUUCUUAAUAGAAUAUAUAUUUUAUGAAUGAUUUUUAAAAAGGACCUUAUCUUUUGUUGGGUAAUUUUAAUUACUAUAUGUGUCAAUGUACAAGUAUACACAACAAGUAAUAUAUUGAUGAGUCUAAAUUAAAAUAAAAUAAUUAAUGAAAUUAAUGAACUAACUAAAUUAAAAUUGCAAAUAAACAAAAUGCAAAAAAGAAAAUUCUCAAGUCAAACAUAAGGACAAAGUCAAUGGGAAUAGAGUAGUUGGGUGAUUAAACUCACUUAAUUGUAUUGAUUGUUUUUCCAAUUAAGAUUAUGUUGCUUUAGCAUCUCCUACAACACUAAGCAGAAUCUCUCACGUAUUCUCAGCUGUCGCUUGUUGAAUAUCUUAUAUCUAAAUACAACCUAAUAAUGACUAGUUGUUACGCUAACAUUAAAUAUAGCAUCAUGUGUUCUAAGUUCUAAUUGCCCUACAAGGUAAAUCGGUAUGUCUAGUUCUUUAUUAAUUUUAGAUUAAGCAUGUCCCUAUUUAAAUCAAUAUUAACUCAACUUGGGAAACCCAAUCUAAAGCCAUUUAUUGUCUUAAUUUGUUCCACUAAGUUAGACAUUUUUUAGGUUGUUUCUUAGCUAGUAUUCACUAAAUGGGUGGUCAGCCGAAAUAGGGAAUUGCAAUAAGUAAAAUCAAGACAAAAUGCUAUAGUAAAUACAGAGCAGCACACAUAUAUCAUUCAAAUAACCAUUAAGCUUAUUUAUCACUCAAUCACAACAAAGUUUAGUUUAGGAUUUGCGAUAAAACAGUAACAAAAAUAAGUUUAGCCAUGAAAUACUGAACUUAUUUAAGUUUAUAAUCUAUAAUAUAUUUAUAUAUAUAUUAUUAUUAUUAUUAUUAGGCUUUAAUUAUGUUACAUGAUCAUAUAACAUACAUAAUUCUUCCACAGCCGUUAGAUGAAAAUUCAACGACUAUGGAAGAAUCAUAUAUCUUACAUGAUUAUGUAAGAUAAUAAUCACUUUAUUAUUAAGCUAACAGAAGGAUGAUGUAAUACAUAUGUACAUGCUUCUAGACAACAAAUUCAGAGAAGCAUUACGCAAAGUCAACAGUUAACUAAUCAAAGUCAGCGGACAAUUACGUUUGGUCCUUGCUUGGGAAUUUCUAAUUUCAAUGGCAGCAAAGUCUGUGGAAAAUUACUUUAAAUGAAGUAUGUACACAAAUGCACACCAAUUAAGAAUAUUACAAAAAUCAUUUAGAUGGUACACAUCAUACAAAAACACAGCUUCAGUUUCGGAAGGGGACCAUUAAUUGUUCAAAAUCGAUAUACAAACAUGGUGGCCCUAGCUAAGAAGAUAACAUGCAUGAUAAGGAUAAACAAUUACCCCAAUCUUUCUUUUGUGGACAUGUGAAUAAAACAAAGACAGAUUCUGAAAGAAGGCGUAUCUAUAGAUGGCCAAUUCAGAACUUAUUUAAGAUCAUACGUUAAUUUUAUUUUUAAUUGAGAUAGAGCCUCUCAUGUUGGCGUUAAUAUGUAGACAAAUAUGAAUCUGAUGCAUAAUAGUACUUUUGAAAUUUUGUUUAAUUAAUUCUUAAGUUGAAAUAUAAAACAAGUAUUCCCCAAUCAACCACGAAGAAUUAAUACCCAUUUAGUUUUUUAAUCUGAAAUUUAAAAUCAGUCUGAAUUUGGUUGAAGUCUUAGCUGAUAGUUUGAUGUGUUUUUUUUUUUUUUUUUUUAAUAUCUAAAUAUAAUUGACAUUAUAUUUGUUCUUAUAAAUAAAAAAAAGUUAAAUACAGUUAUUUAACAUUUAUAUCCUUGUAAGUUAAAAUGCAUAAAGGGCUUAAGUUUUAUAGUUUAGCAAAUAAGUAUAUUUAAUAGAGAUGUUUUAGGAUAUAAUAUUUACUUCUUCGUGCCUUUUCCUAUUUAUAUAAAAGUCACAAAAAUUUACUCUUUAUUUUUAAUUCAAAUGUAAAUGUAUGAAAAAUCAUAUAUAAGUUAAAAAAACAAACGAACAAUUUUAAAAAAGUUUGAAAUAAAAAAAAUUCAAAUUUUAGACAUUUAACCAAUAAGCAUCAAUUUCAUCUUGGUCAAGAGAGUAGUUGGCUACCAUGAAAUUUCUGAUCCCUGUCUAGUAUGGGCAUGUCAUGAAUUAAGCUACGUAUUUUAAUUUUUGCCUUAAAAAAAUUUCCAUUCUUUGUUCUAGAAAAUUGAAAAAAAAAAGAAUAAAAAAUAGUUCACGUUGGUAUUAUCAUUAUAUUAGUAUUAUAAACAUCUCAACCGUUACUAAGUACUCUAUGGCUCGGGUCUUUAGCAGGGUUAUUGAUAGGAAUCAACCGUUUAUUCGCUGACGCAGUAUCAAUUACCAUUGGUUGUUCUUCCACUGUUUAAGAUACAGAUUUAAGAGCAAAGCAAUUUGAAUGCUUGUAAUUGUUACUCUUGCAUCCAAUUUUCCCCAGGAAUUACAGGAUCAACAAUCCCAUCAAACAUAUUACUUUUAACGUGGCUUAACAGGAUCAACAAUCCCACUGCAGUAGUCAGGUGAUUUUGUCCAUGAUUUAUUCAAUUCAGUCUACAGUUCACUAAAUAUGAAAGGAAAGCAUUAAUAAAUUAUCAGGACAAGCUUUUUAUAAGUGAAUUUCUGCCCAAACAAAGCAUCAAGUGACGAUAUAUACCAAAACUGUAAACAUCAUAGUUCUCUUAUUUUCAAUAAAAUGUGUUUUAUUUUUUUGGGUAAACGUAAACCAACGCCAGUUUUAUUUUGUUUCUACGAGGCUUUGUCAUCAUUUUGUGUGUUUACCAUUUUUCCACGGCAAGAUUACAUGGAUGUUGAUUGUACGACUUUCUUUAUCCAUGCUCUGCAUUGUUGUGUGUUUGGGAUUCGCCGGCGACUUUUCUUGGCUUUAUUCAUCUCUCAAAUUUUCAUAUCCUAACACAUAAUCAACGCGCAGACUGAAGACUUUUCUUGGAUUCGAUAAUUGAUGCAGAUUAUACACAGUAGUAUAAAUUGGCAUGGAGUCCAGGAGUUUCGAUAUAACAGCAUAUCCUCAAAGCUAAUGAUAAUUAUAAUGUCAUCCAAGUUGUUCCUUCUAUUUGAAAAUAUAGCUUUGUUUUCUGUGAUAUUUUUUCAAUUGAAGCCCACGACUGCUGAUUCUAACAACAUAAUAAUAAGGUGCAUUGAUGAAGAGAGAGAAGCGCUUCUCACUUUUAAACGGAGCUUGGUGGAUGAACAUGGCGUUCUGUCUUCCUGGGGAAGAGAAGAUGACAAAAGAGAUUGCUGUAAAUGGAGAGGAGUCCACUGUAGCAACACAACUGGCCAAGUCAAGGUGCUCAAUCUUCGAACAUCCGAUUAUGAAUUUGCUCGGAGGAAGUUCCUGAAAGGUACAAUUAGUCCUGCUCUGCUUAAAUUGCAUGAUUUAAGACAUCUGGACCUUAGUAACAAUGACUUUGGUGGAAGCCCAGUUCCUGAGUUCAUUGGUUCCCUCAGCAAAUUGAGGUACCUCAGUCUCUCUUGCGGCGGACCUUUAGAACUCCCUCGAAAAUUCCGGAACCAUUCAAGAUUGGAAUAAAUGCAAUUCAGGUAUAAACUUCGUUUCCAGAAUCUACUGGGGUUCUUCUUAUCAGGUAUGGAUUUAAAUGUAAAAAUGAAAGAGGGUCGUCCAUUAGCAUUUCCAGAAAUGGUGGUGUAAAAGGAUUGUAGAAAAUUAUUUUUCCUUAAGGUUUAGAGUUCGAAGUUCGAACGGUAGAGAAAAAUGGCAGAGGCUUUGAAGAAAAUCUAUUUUGGUUGGGUGCAGAACUGCAGAUAAUUGAAGAUCUAAGGAAGAUAGAAAAUGGGAGGAGCUUAGGGAGAAAUACAGUAGAAGGACAAAACCUGAAUCCUACUCUCAUUGUGUUGAGUUUGGGAAAUCGAAUGGAGCUGUAGUUUGUAGAGGGUAUAUUAUCUACGAUGAAUGGAAAGUAAUCCAACAAGGGCUUGUAGAUAGAUUUGGGCACUCUUUCGAUCUGAAACUAUUCCACAAUGAAAAAGUAACUUUUUUCUGUCAAAACACAAAUGGAAGUAACCGGUUGGGUAAUAUAUGCAUUUGCAGAUUGCAGGGCAAUGUCAUCAUGGUGUUACGAGGAUGGGUACAACAUUAUUGAUAGAUCAUUGAAUGAUUGAUAUUGAAAGAUUAAAAAUUACUUUUAAGGUUUUGGCUCAUUGUUCGUAGUUAUUAUUAUUGACACGACUGAACAACUAGCUAUAUUACCAUUACGAUUAUUAUGGGGUACAAUACCUUGAUUGAUUAAUUGGCUGGAUCAUCGGGAUUAUAGGUGAUAUAUUAAUUGUUGGGCCACAAGAUUAUAGGUGAUAUAUUGAUUAGCCGAGUCAUCGAGAGCGCAUGUGACACUAUGUGACAUGAGCAAUUGAAUAACAUAAAUAUUUUAUUGAUAAAUGAUUUCUUAGAUGAUUAAAUAUUUGAAAAUGAUUAUUACAUGAUGACUUAACUUAAAAUGAAUUUUAUCAUACUCAUGCAAUAGAUUGUAAAAUGAAUAUUGUUUUCCAAUUUAUGGUUCCUUAUAAUGAUUAUUAUGUAUUUUAUUGUUAUUGGUAAUCUCAUGCAUGAAUUUACUUACCAAGUUGAUGGCUCACCCCUCGUCUCCAACAUUUUGCAAGUUAAUUUUAGAGAUGUGGGGUUUUUGGGUUAGAGAAGAGGAUUUUUUAGCUAACACAUUUUCUUUGAUGAAUAAAUUGUCAUUAUUUUGGUUAUUGUUCACAGUUGAAUUUGUUUUGGAUGAUUAUUGUUAUAUUUAUUAUUUUAGAGAUUUUAUUUUGAUAGUGGACAAUAUUGAUUUUUAUAUUAAUAAGAUUAAUAUCACAAGGUUUCAUUCAUUCCCAAUUCCUCUUGUAAAUUAUAGGGUGAAUUUGGGUUAUUACAUUAUUAAUUAAAUUUCUACAUAGAUGACAUUACAAAGAUGUUGAUCAAAGACUAAAAUAUUUCGGAGAAGAUGGUAAUGUUGUUAGGGUGCACCAAAUUUAAAACCUUACUACUAAUAUAAAUAAUUAGUACAGAGCGAGUAAGGAUCGAUCCCACAGAGACUAUGCUAGUUGUAUUUAUUAUCAACUAUGCUAGUUGUAUUUAUUAUCAACUCUAAAGCAGAACUUAAAAUAAAAUAAUAAUAGAAAUAAUAAUAUAAAUUAAUCUAACUAAAGAAAAUGCCAACUAAAAAUAGAGAAAAGGGGGGUUUUUGAAUUUUUAACUAAAUAGCAAGAAAUAAAGAAAUUAAAACUGCGAAAAUAAUAAUUUAAUAAAAACUCUAAUUAAAGGAGAAAGAAAUAAUAAUGAGAAAAACUUUGGUUAAAUGAUCGCCACCACCAAACCUGCACAUAAUAUAUCAAUUCUAUCAUUAAUUUAUAUUGAAACUAUCAACUGUAGACAACAAUAAUCUCUGUUAGUCUCAAUCUUUUCUUAGUAUGUCGUUAGGCAAAACAAGCUCUUCAUCUAAUCUCUAACUAUUAAAUAAUUUAAAACAAACUCUUUAAAUUUAAGAUAAUAGAAGCAUUAAGUAGAGAAAGAUAUUAGGUUGAUUUAGGCAAUAAACACACAAGCUUGGAUUAUUUAACUUAGGUUAUGUUCUCCAAUCGAAAUCACUGAUUCCAACCUACUACUAAUUAUUAAAAUAUCAAGACAAUUAUGGAUCAAGAAUUUUAAUCUAGCAAUAGAAUUUAUUCAAGUUCUAUCUAAUUGGCCACUCAAAUAAGACAAGAAUAAAAUCAUAAACAUUAAUUAUAGAAGAACAUAAACAAUCUCAAUUAAAUAAAUUGAAUGAUAGAAAUUAAAAAAUUCAAUUGCAUAGCAUAUUUAGGGUUUUGAAUUCACCCUCAACCAAAUAAAAAAUCUAUUCUAACAUAAUUAAAUUGAGAAUAAAAGAGUUAAUAAAACUAGACAUAGAGACUAAUUCAAACGGCUGUCUCCUCUAUUUUUUCUCUUCUCCUUUGCGGCUGCAAAUUAUUUUUGUAUGUGUGGCUGCCGAUCCUCCAAUUCUCCUCUAAUUCUGCCGCAAGUCUAGCUUUUAUAGUAGCUUUUAUUGUGCGCCUUAAAUCCUCACAUGGAAAGGAUUAAAAACAAAAGCCAAGCCGCCACUUUUUGUUCAUGCAUGCACAUUACUUGUACAAUUAAUUGGCCAAUGAAUAUUGUUAAAGCCAAAGCCCAUCACGUGCUUGCCAUUUAAAGCCAUGCCAAAAUAUUUGCUUCCUCAAUUAAUCACAAUAUAUGUUUCCCACGUGAUUGCAUGCAUGUUGAUUAAUCAAAUUAAAUCUUUCUUUCCUAAUCUCUUGUGCACUUUUGUCUCCCAAUCUUUAAUUCUUUUCCUAUUUUUAUUCUUUCAAUGAAAUUUCUUUCCUAAAUGCUCUGAUUUAAUUUCUCUUUAAUCCCAAAAUAUGUCUAAAAUAAUAAAAUAAAAAACUAAGAUAAAAAUUAACACAAUAAAAUAUAAUUUUAACAAAAUAACUAAAUUAAAAAUUAACUGAAAUAACUAGAAUAUUUAAGAUCAAAAUAAGAAAAAGAUGGAGAAAUUAAUAGCAAAAUAUAUGAAAAAUAUGCACUUAUCAGAAGACUAAGAGUGCGUUUGGGAGUGAGGUACUGAAACUUUUAAACUGCAGCUACUGUGAAGUAAAAGCUAUAGAUGUUGAGUAGAAGCUGAUGAUAUUUGAUAAAGAUGCUGUAACUUUUAAGCUGCAGAAGCUGAUAGUGUUUGGUAAAUAUAUGUGUCUAGUAUUUUCAAUUUUAAUUUCACAAUUUUUAUAUAUAUAUAAUUUUAUAAAAAUCUCGGGACCCAUAUUAUUCAGUUAAGACACUGUGAGACAAUUUUGAAUUUAAUAAGAAACAAAUAGUUUUGAAAAUGUUUUUGGUAUUGGAUCCUCCUAAAAAUUUUAUUGGAGAUACCCAUGGAUGUCGAGAAUAGAUCUAUGUAAUUUUGUGUCAUUUUGAUUAUUAGAUUAAGAGUUAAAAUUCAGAGAAUCAGACUUCUACGGGUAUGAAUUAGAAAAUUAAGUUCUUGGAAUAAGUUGUUAAUAGUUAUUUCUUGUAUUUGUUUAAAGUAUUGGAGGUGUUUGAGACUGUUAGAGGCUUAGAGGUGUGUUUAAAUCAUUGCUUUUAUCAAGAUAAGUAACUCUAUUCCUAAUGUACUUGAUAUCUAAUGUACUAGAUAUAUAUGAUAAUUUUGAUAUUUCAAUAUUAUUACAAGUACGUGUGUUUUCUUAGUUCUUCAUAACAAAAAUAAUUGAUGUGAGUGUUUUUAAAUUUGAAAAUUAUGCCAUUUUUAUGGUUUUAACAAAAUAUUAUAAAUGCCUUUAAAUGUGCAAUUUAUUUUGCUAGAUAAUUAUAUUUUUGAAAUUAUCUAUAAAAUGUUAGAAUGGAAAUUGUUCUGCAAGCCUAAAUCAUUGUUAUGAUCAUUUAUGAAUCUAAUAUGAAUAUUAUGUUCACGUAUUCUAUUUAAAUUAUCUAUGAAAAUUUAUGCGGGAGCCACCUUUUGAGACUGUAUGGGGGCCAUAUCUCGAGGACUAAAGUGCCACGUACAUUAUAAAGUACCACGUGUAAUUUGCUACAAAGGAAAAAUAAAUUUAAAUAAUUUGGUUCAUUGUCCAUAGUCAUUUUGAUUCCGUUAUAUACUUACACACACACACAAACACAGAGUAUUGAGUUUCUAUUCAGAUUGUGUCUAUGAUAUUCUGAUUCUCAUUCUAUUCCAGCCUGGUCAUCGAGAGUAUAAGUGACACUAUGUGACAUGAGCUAAUCUUUUGUGUCCUGUAUUUAUAUAUUAUAUGAUUUGUUUCUAUGAUUAAUUAUGAUUUCGAUAUUCUGGAUCAUUUAUGAAUUUGUCCUUAUGUUAUUAUAUCUCAUUGUAAAAUUUAUGUUUUUUUAUUGUGAUAUAUAUAUUGGUAAACAAGGCUUGCAAUACUUUUGGUAUCGGAUAUCCUUGGGGUGUUGGGAAUGGUUUUACUUGCCGAAUUGAUAGCUCACUUCUCUUCAUUACUUUUUGCAGAUUGAGUGACUUGUUGAGAGAUGUGCUUAUCUUUGGAGUUAGAGAUUAAUUUACUUUUGCUAGUUGAAUAAAAGAAGGACGAAUUUCUAUUUCUUUUAAGCUUGUUAGUCUUCUCAACUUGUAAUUGGAGAAUUUUGAAACUUUUGUUACAUUUAUGAUUUGGGAGAGAAAUGUCAAGUAUUUGACUUGUGGAUUUGUUGAUUUGUUUAAUAAAAAUUGAGAUAUUUCAGGUUGAGAUUUUGUGUAAGGAUUUCAAUAUGUAAGUAAUCUCCUACUAUCACAUGCUCCACACGUGUUAAAUUUGGAGUGUUACAACUGUUAAGCUUUGCAUAUCCAAAUUGAUUAAGUUGAAAAUUAGGGUAAGAUGAUAGGAUUCUAGGGUUUUACUUAGAGAAUUCAAGAGAGAAAAGAUGAGGAAUUUAAGAAUUUAGAGGGGAGAGAGAAGAAUUAACAGGGGUUAGAAUUAAUUUUAUUAUUGCUUGCUUAAAAACAUAAUGAGAACCACUUACUUAUAGUGGCUCAACACAUUCCUAAUUCUAAUCUAAUUAGAACCUUAAAUUAUAAUUAUAGUAAGAAAACCUAAUCCUAAUAGGAAAGAAAAAAUAAACCACUUGGGUUCUGUAGAGAUUUGAUUGAACUGCUAAUCUUAUAAAACCAAAACUCUGCCCAUGAUCUUUGACUAAGAUCAACAGAAGUUGCACACAAGCAAUAAAAUUGAACCAGAAUCUAUUCAAUAUCCUCUCAACAGACUUAGCCACUCAAGAACAGAAAUUAAACAACAGAAAAGAAUGAAUCAGAAACAAAAUCACAGAGAGAGCAAGAGAUAACGUGGUCCAAUCUUUUUCAAGACUUGCAUUCCCGAGUGAAAACAUCAGAGAUUGUUUUUUUGAUCGAUUCAACGAAGAAACUACAAGUACUCAGAAUUAAGGAUACAGAGCUUAAGAAUUAGUUUUCUCUCUCCAAGAUUCUCUCUCGAAUACUCUCGAAUCACUCCCGCAAGUGAGGUGCAAAACCAGCUUUAUAUUACAGGGGGAUAACAGAACAAUGAACCCAGAUAGCACAGCCCUCUUCCACGUGCCCAAGACCGUUAAAAGAACAGGGAUGCACUUAAGUGACCACGUGACUUAGCACGCGCAAUUUCUUGAAUCUGUUAUGAGUAAAACGCAAGCUUUAACGUCGUUUACAGUUAGUAAUCACGAGCUCCCUGACGUGACUUCAUAACGGAUUUAACCGAUGGCCCAAUACGCUGCCGUUUGCUCUGGUUUGUGUUUGAAUUCAUUGACUCUACAGGUUCUAAUAGAUUCUUUUGUUUCAAAAUGAAGAUUGAAGAUCAUCCACGGCAGUAGGAGAUUUAAGUUGGAAGAUCAUCCAGAAUUUAUUUCCUUCUUUGCAAGUUGUGUUCUCUCAAGACUCGCAGCUAGAGAUGGCAAAUAUCCAAUUAUGGAUGGAUAAUAUCCAUCCAAAUACAAAUCCAUAAUUAUUCAUGAUGGAUAUAUCUAUAUCCAUAUCCAGUAUUUAAUAUUGGACAUGGAUAUGGAUUUUAUCCAUAAAGAUAUGGAUAUCCAUGAAUAUUUUAUUUUUAUUAUAUAAAAAAUAAUAAUAAAAUAAAAUAAAAAAUAAUAUAAAAUAGUUAAAAACAGUAUUAAAUUCUAAUAUCAAAUAAAAAAUAAUAAACAUAACAAAUAUCAAAACUAUGAAAUAAAAAAAUUAUAAUAUGAAAUUACAAAUUAAUUUCAAAUUAAAUACAAAAAGUUCAUUCUUCUAACGCAUCAUUAAUCUCCAAUCUUCUAACACAUCAUUAAUCUCCAACUAGAUCAUCAUCAUUAAUCUGCAAAUUCAAUCAAAACACAGAUAAUAUUAAAUGCACAAUGAGCCAAAUGAAAAAUGAAAGAAGCUUAAUAGUGUAAGUUCAGCCAGUUGUGACAGUUACCUGCGGAUAUGAUGAGUGCUUGACCAGUAUAAUUCAGGUUUGCCUUUGUCCAAGGAAUUUUUCAAACUGCAACCAACUGAUAACAAAAAGUAAAUGAGAAAAUGACAGAAAAAAGCCAGACCUGCCAUUUGAUGCAUGAAUAGAGCAGAUAUGAACUAAACAGGAAAUUCUGAAACCAUAUAAUUUGCCACCAUGGCCAUAACAAAUGAAAUAUCUUUGGCAGCCGGAUAGAUUUUCAAAUCAAGUGAAACUUAAGAUGAAUAACACAGGACAGAAGAUUAGGUAAUAGAAGACAGGGCCACAGAACAGAACACCAGGGAUCUGUAACAUUGAGGUCCUUUCCUAAAAAUAUACUCUUCAAUUAGGCACAACAAUAAGCAUCAAGCACAUACCAAAAAAAGAAAAAUAAACACUAUUCAGAACAUGGUUGGGUCUCCUCUUCAUCAUCAUUAUCAGUCACUUCUCCAUUUAUUUCUUCCCCAUUCAUCACUUUAUCUUUAGGAAUCUCACCUAAUUUAAAAAAAAAAAAACUUGUAAAAUAUAAAAAAAAAAACAAAUACUAUCAAAAUCAAAUAAGUGCAUAAGUGAGCUGAAUUUGAUACCUUUUAAUUGAGCCCAUAUCCAAUUCUGAGUACACAUUAAGGCCUCUACUGUACUCGGAUGAAGUCUACUACGAUGUGGGCUUUAUCAAAUGCAUCUUUUUUCUUGUAGACCUUAGAUGCUUGACUAGGGCUAGAAGCUGGAGCUGGAGCUGAUUCUUGUAUCUGUUUGGGACACCUAUCAAUAUGGUUUAACAAAUGUGAAGUUCCACUUGAUUGCUGUCCAGCAAAACCUUUGCCACAAUGAUUACACACUGCCUUCAUUUCUCCAUUAAUUGUUCUCCUUGUGAAAUGGUCCCAAGCUCUAGAUGCUUGUCUCAAUGAGCUUCUAGGUUGUCCUUCCGAGUCUCGUUUUGUACCUCCACUAAUUGAAUGAGUUUGUGGAUUUUCAGCAUUAACAUUACUUGAGGCUUGAGGGUUUAAUUGAACAGCAGGAUCAGAAUCAAAAUCAGACAUAAUUAACCUGAAAAAAGACAUUACAGAGCAAUUAUUAACAAUCCCUAAACUUCCAGAACUAGCUAGCUCGUUUGUUUGGAAGUAGUAGUAGUGCUUAACAUGAACCAUAUAGAGAUCAAUUAGAUGAUAAUCUAACUUCCAGCAUCCGUCAAUAUUUUAUUUCACAAUGGGAGGGCCACAUUUCCACAAAUGGCAACACCCAAUAGCAAAUGGAGCCUCAACUGAUUUCGGCCUCUAGAAGCUGAAAAAGUUUUGUUGGAAAAUUCGACUAUCAGAUUUCAAAUGAUUAUGUGAAAGGCCAUAUAUUAUAUAUACUAGCAGAUUCUUUGAAGAAAGUAACCACUGCAUAUUGAAACUCUUCCAAUUCCUCUCUCUCUCUCUCUCUCUCUGUACACACACACACACACACACACACAGAGCCAUGUAAACAAAAAUAAGAAAAAUAAUGGAAGCCAUAAAGGCAUAAGAUUUUAGGCUUGUAAAAGCUUAUUUCAUGUUUAAUCAUGGAGCCAAAUUCAUAAACUAAAUUAAACCCCAUCCAGCAAUUAAUCAAAAUCUAGAUUUGUGACUGACAAAAGGUGAAGAAAAUAUUUGCAUAAUUUUAGUAAAAUCACCAGAAAUACGGUGAAAAUGCUGGGUACUGUGAAGAUCAAUCAAAGCCAAAUAUAUAUUAAACGGCUUAUAAGCUUCAGCAAUCAAAACUUACCUUGCGCGGGAGACAACGAACAGGCGGACGGACGACGGUGGUGGCAGCGACGACAGAGACGAUGGUAGCUGGAACGAGGCAGAAAAACGCUCAAGAACAGCUGGAAGCUGCAGUUACGGCUGAUCAACCAUUGGUACAGCGCCGGCACACCUAAACGGAACCCCCGGAAAGCGGCGUCGGAGUCGGGGAAGAGCGUCGGUAAGCAAAGACCGGCCGGCGAGCGAUGUGAUAAUCUUAGGUUUUGCUAUCCAGACAUUUGUUUUUGCUUAUUUCAUUUUAGUUUUACGAUUUUAAUUUUUUAAUUUCAAAUAAGAUAUUAAUUGGAUAUUGGGUAUCCAUUGGAUAUCCAUACCCAUCCAAUUUUUAUUUGGAUAUUUUUUUAAAAUAUCCAUAUUCAUAUCCAAAAAAUUUUGGAUGGAUAUUAUCCAAUCCAAUUGGAUUGGAUGUAUGGAUAUCCAAUUUAAAUGGACCAAAUUGCCAUCCCUACUCGCAGCUCCGCCAAAUUCUGGCGUGAAGGCUUAUCACCUUCCUCUUUAAUGCAGCUUUGCAGCCCACAUCAGUCGCCAGUUGGAGUCAAAUUAAUGAAAAAUUUAGGGUCGUGUAAUUGGUCUCAUGCAUCCACAAAUUUGAUAAAUUUUAACUCACAAUGGGUAUAAACUUAUGGUGAUUUAAUAAGAAUGCAGUGAAGAAUUAAGAGAUAUUCAAGUGCCUGCAAUUGUGUUGGUUUCCCAAAUCCCAACCAAUCCAACAUUUCAGGAUAAGGCUUUUUGUUUAAAUUAAUAGCACAACGUUCCAGAGGGAUAAUCCAAAUUCUUGUUGCGUUCUCUCAACUCUCAAUUCUCAUGAUAUUAGUUAAAGCUUCGUAAAGAACAUUUCGCAGCCUUAGAUGGAGGAAUCUGAAGCAGAGAUGGCGUCAUUGCCCAAAGAUUAAGGCUUUGAAUUAACUCUUUCCUGGCAUGUUUCUUUGAUUCAUGAGGAUUUACAUUUUCUUUUCUUUUUUUCACAAUACAUUAAUUAAAAAUUAUACAAGUGGAAGAAGGAAGCAAGUAAAGUAAAUCAAACAUUGAACAUGACAAGGCACAAGAAGCAAGCGAGUCUCAGGUAUCAAGCUUUCCUAGGCGACAACCAAGUUCAACAAAGCAAAGGUGAAGCAAGGCAAACAAGAAUUCAAGCCGCACGUCAUAGAUCACGAAAGUGAAGACUCACCAAGCUUCAACACAGUGAACAAAUCAAGGCUGCUUAUUCUGUAUUUGAUGGCUCUCUCUGUGAUUUUUUUAUUCUGCUUUCAUUUAAUUAUUUUGUUAAUUCCUUUGUUUCUUGAUUAAAUAUCAAACAGUUAAGUGAGGUCCUGGAGGAUCAUGAUCGGUCAUCUAACACUCUCAAACACGAGUUCUUGAUCUAACUUCCACAAACCUGCGAAGUAUUUUGACUUUAGUUGGCAAAUGAAAACAAGGGUUUUAACAUCAAAGGAAAUGGUACCAAGGAAGAUGGCCAAUUCGGGAAUUAAGAUCACAAAGGAAGCAGAGGAGCUCUGUCGUUGGUCCCUGCAGUAUGCAAGUGAUUUUGAUCCUAAUCUCUCAACUUCACAUCUAUUAUUGCUGGCCUAUCUUCUUCCGACACAGAGAGACAUUUCAAGGCAAGUUCUACAAGAAUUUGCAAUUGCUUCGAUUUUCCUUGACCCGGUUGAAUUCCAACGACAAUGGGGUCUAUUAUCUCAACAAACCUAUUAUUAUCAAUAUGUUUCUUGACCCAAUCCUUAAAUAAAGUUUCAUCAAGACAACAUUGAAAAUCAUAUAUCUUCUUGCCAGUCAAAAGCUCAAGCAGCAAGGCAGCAAAGCUAUUAUUUUUCUCUGAAUGCUCCAUGAGAAUGGUAUUUAUGUUAUGAUUCAACCUAAACCUGAUAAGAUAUUGUCUGUUUUAAGCCUUAACAAGGCCACAUGGUUUUGUUUCAAGGACACCAAUACAUCCCGAAACUCAUCUUAUCAAUAAAAGUGUGGAUUACCUCUUAUAAACUCAACAUCUCUCUUGUACUUCGUCAAUGUGAGAUUUGCCUAGGCUGUUACAAUUUAAGUGCCAUAAAUCCAAAUUUGGCGAUUGUGUGAAGUACUCUUAUGCGUAUUUUAACAUCAGAAACAAAAAUUGGUGACAAGGAGGUAUUACAUGCGUUAUCAUUAAAUUAAUAUACGCACUAAUCUCAAAGUAUGUGUUAUAUACAUGUUCUUAAUGUGGCUCACAUUCAUGAGUUUGAGAUGAAUUAAGACUCAUGAGUUUGAGAUGAAUUAAGACUACUCACAUUUUUUUGAUUAGAUAAUGAUAAAGAGUAGUUGCUCCAUAUUUCUAAAAAAUUAAGAUGAGGAUAAUUUCUCAUUUUCUUGAUGGAGGGUGUUGAUGCGAGAUUCCGGUUCUCCUCGUUCUACGACCAGGAUCUCUGCUCGAUCAACUUCACCACGACCAGAAGGUCUCCCAGUAAUGCUUCCUCUCCAGAUGUCCCUGCACAAACAGACAAGUCAGAGUACGCCGGUUGUUCUCCCGGCGCAAACCCUCCGACGCUCAAGUCAGAUAUCAAGGUUCAGGGAACGCUUGCCACAGGUCUUAUGGCUUUUUCGUGGUUUUUCUCUUUAAUCUAAAAAAUGCCAACCUUUUUACCUUCGUUGGCUACCUUUUUAUAGGCUUCCUCUGAAUCUCAGUCUUCCGCUCUUUUCGAGACGGUAUGGGACUCUAACUGCUGCGUUAUGGGCAAACGUGGGGUCUAGCGUGUUACGCCACGGUUCAGGGGAAAGCGUGGCUGUCAUGGCUCUGUGGGACCUUGCGUGUUACGCCACGGUUCUGGGGAAAGCGUGGCUGUCAUGGUUCUGUGAGAUCUUGCGUGUUACGCCACGGUUCUGGGGAAAGCGUGGCUGUUGUGCCUAGAUUUUCGUGCUGGAGAGCAUGUCUUGCCAACUGCCGUCGACCGGGUCUCCUCGCCUCUCGACCUCUAGCCGGAAUGGCCUUAUGCCUCUUAUAGGAAAUUAGCCUCACGGAUGACAACAUCGUGGACGAGCAGGAUAUUUCUGCUCCUGUUCUUCCGCGCACCAGGCUUUUACGGAACACACCGGUUCGCAGAACUCCGCCAUCAGAUAUCUGCUCGUCAUUCCUGGUCUCGUCAACGUAUUUAUCCCAAACAGUAUCUCUCCCAAACACCGGUCCCCCAGUUUCUGGUGUUGGGUAAUAUAGUGGACCAGCAGUAGAAACUCGAUAGUACUCGCUCGCGUGGGAUUGGAAAAGGCUGCCAAGAGUCAUGUCGCAUUUAAUUGCGGACGAGGUGACGUGGCAGAAAUCCCCCCCUCCAUUUGAAUUUCAAACCGACGGUCAUGAGAUCCUCGGGAUUCGGCGCAGUUAUAUGCUGGCGACCCAAGAGUCCGUCCUCAUUUGGAAAGCCAAAUUCUCUCGAACGGCAUAUUCACCACUCACUCCGUCUCCGUCUCUGUUUCUCCGGCAAAGAAGUUCCGGCACAAAGCCCCCCAUCCUUGCCUUUCUCCGAUUGGAGCAGUACUUCAGGUAUUACUUCUCUCUCCUCGGUCUCGGAUAGUUUGUAGAUAACUUCUUUUUCUUUCGUUUGGGUAGUAGUUAGUGGCGUUGUGGUUAGAGUUUAGGGAAUGUCGAAAGGCAAAGAGAAGGUUAUUGUGGUUGAUGACGACGAGUUGGACUUCUUGCCUAGUCUGCUCACCGAUCCUGCCUUUGACCCCGAGGUCCCCUUAGAGCCUAUUAGGUCUAGUGUCAGGACUAGUGCUAGGAGGAUGUCUCCCCAAACGACCUCUACGAGCGGAAGUAAUGGCGAGGAGAGAUCUUCUGACUCCGAGGACACUUUGAGUGAGGGUCGAGGAGAUGAUUCUGGUGAGGCGUCCCCAUCAGGAGCGCCGCGACCGGAAGGGAGGAGUAGAAUAGGAGGUAGAGCCCUAUCGCGGGAUUACGCUAUUGAUUACAUGACGUGCACGACCACGUUUGAUGAGCUCGAGGACCUCCGGCUGAGGUAUAGCAUUCCUGGUGAAAUACUUCUCAAGGUCCCAGGAAAGAAGGAUGCUCCCAGCCGCCCUCCUAGGGGAUAUGUUACCCUGUAUCUGGACAGCUUUAAGUACGGGCUGAGGUGUCCCUUGCAACCUUACUUUGCCCGGAUACUUAACGGGCUAAAUCUAGCUCCUGGUCAGCUGAAUCCCAAUGGGUGGAAAGUGCUCUCUGGUCUGUUCAUUUUGUGGGACAGAUGUUGCCAAAGCGAGCCCACGGUUGAUGAGGUGAAGCACCUGUACCAGCUAAAGAGCAGCCCCAAAGAUGCCGGCUGGUACUACUUCCAAUCUAGCACCAAGAGCAGGAAACCUAUAACCGACCUCCCUACUGGUGGUGGCGGGAAUUGGAAGAGAAAGUUCUUUUUUGCUGGGGGUCCUUGGGGUCAGGUCGCACAAGUGGACGGGAAGGAUUAUCGGGUCCCACCCCGUUUCACGGUCCCAGGUUGCCUGCUCGCUUCAGAUGCCUUGUAUCCAUACUUGUUCUUGUUUUAUUGGCUUGUUUCUAACCAAGUGUCUUGUUUGUGUUGUAGUUUCUUGGGGUGUUCACUUCCCGCUCGAACCUGACCAGCUCAAACGGGUCGAGGCGGUACUGGCCAAUUCCUGCUCGAGCCGAGAACUGUUAAGUACAUACAACUUGCUCGAGUCUCGCUUGAUACUUCCUGGCCAUAGGAUGGAGGACGCUGUGAUUGGGGCUUUGACCCGAAAACGUUCUCGACCUCCAACCACGAAGAGGGACGAGAGUAAGGAUGCCCCUACUGCAAAGCGGGCCAACAUCGUGCAGCAGGCCCCACCCUUGAAGAUUUUACCUCCUGCUCCUGUAAAAGUUGGGGAACCUAGUGGAGCAGCCACAGAUCCCGCUACCUCUUCUCCUCCUGUCGGGCCUCGGUCUCGCUUACCUGACAGCCGAGCAGAACAUCUGGUCCCUUACCUCAAUGAGUUAGUUAAACUGGUGAGCAAGGAGGAGCUGGAGGACUUUGAUGGCCGCACCUUGGGUGAGCUGGUGGGGGCCAUUCAGCAUAGCGCCUUCCACCUCAGCUGCAUGACCACCUACUACAAGGCUAAGGUGGGCCGCUACGACCGGAAGAUGAAGGGGGAUAUUCAGUCGGCGACGACCAGAGCUGACGUUGCCGAGAAGAAAGCAGGGGAGCUGAAUCUCGAGAACCUGAAGCUGAUAGAGCAAGAAUCACUUGCUCAGGCAAAAGCCAUUACCCUCGAGGAGGAGCUUACCAAGGUCAAGGAGGAUCUGCAAAGGCAGAAGGCAAUGUAUGAGGCUCAGCUCGAAUCUCUCCGCGACUCCCACCGAGCUCAGGUCGAGAACUUGGAGAGGGAGGCCGACAACCAGUACGACCAGGGACUUCGGCAUUCCUAUCGUUGCAUCAUGGCCGUCCUCGGGAAGCAACACCCUGACCUGAAGAUGGAUGACCUUGCAGCUGGUGUUGCUCAGCAUAUGGAUGAGGAGGCGGCCAAGGAAGAUGCCGAGGGGGUAGAGCCGAUCGCGAUCGAGGAGGAAAGUUCUCCUCGUGCAGUCCCUGCUGAUGUUGGCGAGGCGAGCACCCCCCCGGACGCAACUGGUGAUACCCCCCCUGCACCCGAGGAGGUCCAGCCAACCGAUGCUGCUCGGCUCACUGAUCCACCAUCUUUUUGAUGUAUUUCUUUUUGUGUUGUAAUGAACAACGUUUAUGAAAUUUAUCCCCUCUGUUAGCCAUUAACACAUUAAUAAAAAUGUUGUUGUUGAUUACUUUCUUGUGUUGUAAUUACGAAUUAUUUUUCGUCUGAAACCCUGCUCGCUUUUGUCUGAUUGAGCAGGAUCUGGCUUGGCGUAUGGUUUUGCCUAUUCUUAAAAUUUUUUUUUUUUUUUUUUUGCUUGGGGGGAUCUGCUCGUCUUCGCGUGGUCGAGCGGGUCCUGGCACGCUUGGCUUCAGUCUUGCCAUAAACAGGCUUUGACUUGGUGAGGCCUUUGCGGGCCUUAGAAAACUUUUCCGAAUACUUUGGAGUCUGCUCGUCUUCUCAUGAUCGAGCUGAUCCUGGCAUGUUUGGCUUUUGUCUCGCCAUAAAACAGGCUUUGAGACUUGACGAGCCUUUGCGUGCCUUUGGAAUUUCUUCAAACGAUUUGGAUUCUGCUGCCUUCUCGUGGCCGAGCAGAUCCUGGCAUGCUUGGCUCCUGUCUCGCCAUAAGACAGGCUCUGAGACUUGGCGAGCCUUUGCAUGCCUUAGGAAUUUCUUCAAACGAUUUGGAUUCUGCUGCCUUCUCGUGGCCGAGCAGAUCCUGGCAUGCUUGGCUUCUGUCUCGCCAUAAGACAGGCUCUGAGACUUGACGAGCCUUUGCAUGCCUUAGGAAUUUCUUCAAACGAUUUGGAUUCUGCUGCCUUCUCGUGGCCGAGCAGAUCCUGGCAUGCUUGGCUUCUGUCUCGCCAUAAGACAGGCUCUGAGACUUGGCGAGCCUUUGCAUGCCUUAGGAAUUUCUUCAAACGAUUUGGAUUCUGCUGCCUUCUCGUGGCCGAGCAGAUCCUGGCAUGCUUGGCUUCUGUCUCGCCAUAAGACAGGCUCUGAGACUUGACGAGCCUUUGCAUGCCUUUGGAAUUUCUUCAAACGAUUUGGAUUCUGCUGCCUUCUCGUAGCCGAGCAGAUCCUGGCAUGCUUGGCUUCUGUCUCGCCAUAAGACAGGCUCUGAGACUUGACGAGCCUUUGCAUGCCUUUGGAAUUUCUUCAAACGAUUUGGAUUCUGCUGCCUUCUCGUGGCCGAGCAGAUCCUGGCAUGCUUGGCUUCUGUCUCGCCAUAAGACAGGCUCUGAGACUUGACGAGCCUUUGCAUGCCUUUGGAAUUUCUUCAAACGAUUUGGAUUCUGUUGCCUUCUCGUGGCCGAGUAGAUCCUGGCAUGCUUGGCUUCUGUCUCGCCAUAAGACAGGCUCUGAGACUUGACGAGCCUUUGCAUGCCUUAGGAAUUUCUUCAAACGAUUUGGAUUUUGCUGCCUUCUCGUGGCCGAGCAGAUCCUGGCAUGCUUGGCUUCUGUCUCGCCAUAAGACAGGCUCUGAGACUUGACGAGCCUUUGCAUGCCUUAGGAAUUUUUUCGGUUUCAAGCGAAUGAAAUUCGUUGACGUUCCAUUAAUGGCAGGAUCUGACUUACAUGAAAUUGUUCGGACAUAAAGCGUGAAAAAUAAACGAUAAUAAACAUGAGCAAAAAUAGCUUUCAAAUGUGAACAAGUCUUACUGGAAGUAUUUCCGGAGGUGUGCUGCGUUCCAUGGGCGUUUCACUUCGUGGCCAUCCGCGCGAACCAGCUUGUAAGCUCCGGACCCCGCUAUCUGCUUGACUCUAUACGGCCCUUCCCAAUUCGGUCCCAGCACUCCUUGAGUCGAGUCUUUGGUGCUCUGAUUCACUCUUCUCAGUACCCAGUCUCCGACCUUGAAUUGCCGUAUGUUCACCUUCUGGUUAUAAUACCGAGCAACCCUCUGUUGGUAAGUGACUGAUUGCUCGGCUGCUUGCUCCCUCCUUUCCGUUAGCAGGUCAAGAUUCAAACAUAUCUGCUCGUCGUUAUCGCGCUCGUUGAAAUGAUCUGUCCGGUGUGUGGUCGUUCCUAUCUCAGCCGGCACGACCGCUUCAUGUCCGAAAGCCAAAGCGAACGGUGUCUCCCCAGUUGCGGUUUUGUGGGUCGUUCUGUAUGCCCAUAACACACCUGACAGCUCGUCAACCCAAGCACCCUUUUUUGCUCCGAGUCUGGUUUUCAGAAGCCUCUUGAUGGUCUUGUUGGCUGCUUCUACUUGUCCAUUCGAUUGAGGGUGAGCAGGCGAGCAAUACUUCAGCUCUAUCCCGAGGUUCUGGCAGAAAUCCCUGAAGCUGUGAUUAUCGAACUGCCUGCCAUUAUCCGUUACCAAGGCAUAUGGGAUCCCGUACCGACAGACCAGGUUUCUCCACACGAAGUCUGUUGUUUUCUUCUCUGUGAUCCUGCUAAGGGCUUCUACCUCUAUCCACUUUGUGAAGUAAUCUAUAGCAACUAUUGCAUGUGUUGCUGCUCCUCGUCCCUUUGGCAAUGGGCCGAUCAAAUCAAUUCCCCAUUGAGCGAAUGGCCAAGGGGAGGCCAUGGAGGUAAGCUUCUCUGGUGGUUGGUUAGAGAAAUUUGCAAAACUCUGGCAGCUUGCACAGCUCCUGGUCUUCCUCUGCGCAUCCUGGUGCAUCGUCGGCCAGAAAUAUCCCUGCCUUAGAACCUUGUGGGCCAGGGACCUCCCGCCAGAAUGAUUUCCGCAAAUUCCUUCAUGUACUUCCCUCAGCACGUAAUCCGCGUCGUCAUCGUCCAAACACCGAAGGAACGGUAAUGUAUAUCCUCGCCGAUACAGUACCCCAUCGAUCAUCGUGUAUCUCGAGGCCUGAGCUCUAAUCUUCCGAGCUCGCAGCUUAUCUGGUGGUAAGACCCCGUCUCUAAGGUAUGAAACUAUCGGGUCCCUCCACGAGCCUUUUUGUUCUAUCCGCAACACCCCCAAAUUCUGCUCGAUACUUGGGCUGGACUUCACCUCCAGAGGGACAGACUUUGGCAUUUUCGGGUCGGCUACUGCUGCCAUCCUAGCCAAAAUGUCUGCUCGACUAUUCUGCUCCCUGGGGAUUUGUAUCACCUCAACUGCUUCGAACUUCCCCAUCAUCUGUCUGACUAUCUUCAGGUACUGCUCCAUCUUCUCCUCUCUUGGUUGGAAUCUUUCACUGACAUGAUUCGCAACCAGCUGGGAAUCCGUUCGGAUCCUAACUCUGUCUGCUUUUACGGCCUUAGCCAAUUCCAGACCUGCUAUCAAGGCUUCAUACUCUGCUUGGUUAUUGGUGGCUGCAAAUUCCAAUUUUAUAGCAUAAGAGAUCUCCUCCCCCUCUAGGCCUUCCAAGACAAUCCCUGCUCCUGAACCCCGCUCCCCUGAUGACCCAUCCACGGAUAUCUGCCAUACUUGAGUUUCGUCGUUGCCUAUAACUGCAUCUUGUUGAUCUAAGCAUACUUCGGGCUCUGCGAACUCAGCUACGAAAUCGGCCAUUGCCUGGGCCUUUAUCGCUGCGCGGGGUUUAUAGUCUAUAUCGAACUCGCUCAGCUCUACAGCCCACUUGACGAGCCGACCAGAGGCAUCUGGCUUGUGCAGAAUUUGACGCAAUGGCUGGUUGGUUAUUACCGAGACCGGGAAUGCUUGAAAGUAUGGCCUCAACUUCCGAGCAGCAACCACAAGGGCGAGUGCCCAUUUCUCCAACGGUGGGUAUCUGGUCUCAGUGUCGAGCAGGGCCUUGCUGGUGUAGUAUAUCGGAUACUGAACUCCUUCUUCCUCUCUCACCAGAACGGAACUGGCGGCCCGAUCCGAUACCGCCAAAUACAGAUUCAACUUGUCCCCUUCCCUCGGUGUGGACAGUAGCGGAGCCUGCUGCAAGUAUUGCUUCAAGUUCCGGAAGGCUUCCUCGCAUUCUGGGGUCCAUUCCGUUUUCUUUCCCCUCCUUAUCACUUGGAAGAAUGGCUGACACUUAUCUGUAGCCUUGGAUAUGAAUCUGCUCAACGCCGCCAACCUCCCCGUGAGGCUCUGCAUCUCCUUCAGGUUUCGAGGAGACGUCAUUUGCACAAUCGCCUGGAUCUUCUCGGGAUUUGCUUCAAUCCCCCUAUGGCUCACCAUGAAUCCCAGGAAUUUCCCUGACUCGACCCCAAAAGCAUACUUCUCCGGGUUGAGCUUCAUCUUAUACUUCCUCAAAAGCUCGAACGUCUCCUCGAGAUGUCUGACAUGUUCCUUCGGGAUUUUGGACUUGGUGAUCAUGUCGUCCACGUACACCUCCAUGGUUUUCCCGAUCAAGGGCUUAAAGACUUUAUUCACCAGCCUUUGAUAAGUGGCCCCAGCAUUCUUGAGACCGAAUGGCAUCACCCUGUAACAGAACAAACCUUGGUUAGUGAUGAAAGCCGUGCUCUCCUCAUCCGGCUCGUACAUGGGGAUCUGGUUGUAUCCCGAGAAUGCGUCCAUGAAGCUAAGCAGACCAUGUCCAGCCGUUGAAUCUACUAGCUGAUCGAUCUUUGGUAAAGGGAAGCUGUCUUUUAGGCACGCCUUAUUGAGGUCCGUGAAAUCCACACACAUCCUCCACUUGCCGUUUGCCUUCUUUACCAACACCACAUUUGAUAUCCACUCUGGGUAAUUGACUUCCCGAAUGGACCCUACUCUCAGAAGCUUCUCCACCUCAUCAUUUACAGCCUCAUACCUCUCCUGGUUGAAGCACCUCCUCUUCUGCCUUACUGCCCGAGCACCUUUCUUUAUUGCCAGCUUAUGACAUGCUACCUCUAGGUCAAUCCCUGGCAUGUCUUCAUGUGUCCAGACAAACACGUCAGCAUGAGCCUGUAAGCAUUUCACCAACUCCUGCUUUUGCUCUCCCUUAAGUCUCGACCCGAUUCUGAUCGUCUUUCCCGGGUUCUCUGGUCCCAUGCUUACUGUUUCCAGAUCCUCUACGGGUUCUUGUCUGCCAGUCUUGUUUUCUACUCGGGUAUCGAGGGAUGUUAUCUGCAUUGCCUCCCUUGCUGCCGAGGAGUAGCAGCUUCUUGCGAUCCUCUGGUCUCCUCGUACCACUCCGACUACCCCAUUCACCCGAUAGUUCAGAGCCAGAUAGUGGUUGGACAACACCGCUUUGCUCAUCCUUAAAAAUGGCCGACCUAGGAUCAUUUGGUAAGGACCUUCCUCAUCCACUACGACGAAGUCCAGUAUCAUUGUUCUUUCUGUCGGGGGGCUCCCAAUUGUGAUAGGCAGUUCGACCACGCCCAGAGGGACCAGCUUCCCUCCUCCGAACCCCUUCAAGGAGGUGUUGGUGUAUUCCAGCUUCCGGUCGGCUAUUCCCAUCUCUUCCAGGGUUGACUUAAAUAACACAUCAACUGAGCUCCCUGUAUCAAUCAGUAUCCGGUCAAACUUCUUGCUAGCGAUAGUAGCCUUGAUGACUAAGGCAUCCUCGUGGGGGUAUAGAAUCCCUUCCUCAUCCUGCUCCGUCCACAUGAUUGGCACUUGCCUGACCCUUGCUCGUUUAGCUGCUGGGGUGUUGAGGAGUACCUCUUUGCUGGUCAUGGCGUACCUAGCAUAAUUCUUCCUCGAUCUGUUCGAAUCUCCGGCCAACGUUGGGCCCCCAGCUAUCACCCUUACUGCGGGCUGCUCGCGUCUCAUGGUUCUAUCACUCUGCUCCCCUUCAUCUGUUGUGGCCACCAUCGGAAAAGUCCCAUCCAUAAACUCGUCCAGGUACCGAUUUCUCACCAGAUCUUCGACCUGGGUCUUGAGAUCUCUACACUCUGCUGUGGUAUGGCCAUGGGUGCCAUGGAACUUACAAUAACGUCCUCUAUCCCUUCUGUUGGGCAGCUUUGUUAUUGGUGUAGGGAGGUGCAGCAGCCCUCGAUCCUUUAUGGCCUCGUACACCUCAUCCAGGGGCAUCCUCAGGGGAGUGUACCGCCCAUAGUCCUGGUUCUGGUCGACCAGAUGCACUGCUCUUUCUCUGUUUGCCCCACUGUGAGUUGGGGGCGGUGGAAGUGCUUCUGGUCUGCUCGCCCUGUUACCGUGGGAAUGUUGAUGAAGACCACCGGAUGCCGAAUCAUGCCUUCUCCAAGGCUCCCUAGCUGGGGAACGAGGAGGUGGCGCCUUGCUGCGCUGAUACUGUGGCGGCCUCUGAUGAGGCUGGUAAGCAAUCACCCUACCUCCUGAUCCAUUACCGGAGACUUGGUGGUCCCUCCUCCUGACCGGCCCAUUCCCUAGUAAUGCUUUCUUCUCUUUCCUCCCUAAUCCUUCCAACUGGUCUGUCUUGAUCCGUGCAGCCUUCUCCUCCUCAAUCUCGAUGUCUCUUUUAGCCUGUUCGUAUGCGGCUGCAUACGUUUGAAUAGCUGGGCUUCUCAAAUUGUACCACAGCCUUCCUAUCUUCACCCCUUCUUUCAAUCCCCUUAACGCCUGAGGGUGGUUGAAGGCUCCCAAGUCGAGGACAGCCCGAUGAAACCUCUUGAUGAAUUCCCAAAGGGUUUCUUGCUCCCCCUGUUUCAUGCUUUUCAGCUCCAUCAUGUCAUCUUCCGGUGACAUUGCCCCACUAAACUGCUCUGCGAAUUCCUGGCACAUCUGCUCGAAGGUUUUAAUGCUGCCCCGAGGAAGUUUCCUGUACCAUUCUCGUGCACGUCCCUCAAGGGAUAGUGGGAACACCCUGCACCUUUGGGAUGGAGAUAAUCCCUGUACCCCCGUCAUGUCGUUGAAGCGCUCUAUGUGCAUCAGCGGGUCAGUUCUUCCCGAGUAUCUGAGGUCGGGGAGGCGAAAAUCUCUCGGAAUAACUGCCCUCAUGAUCUCUGCUGCGAGCGGUGAUUCUCCGUCCAGCAUUAUCCUCCAACCAGGGGCUCUGUUCCUCCCUUGCAUGUCGUCAAUUAUUUGCGCUAGCCUUCGCACUUCCUCCUCCAGCUGCCCUGCACGACCAGGGUCACGUGCUGCAACUUGAUCCCGCUCUCGCUCUACAUCAUGCAAGUGUUGCCUUAGCUCUGUUUCCUCUGCAUUCACCACCCCGUCGCCCUCGUCACAAGUCUGUCUUGCCGGGGACUGCUCUCUUUCUCUAUGAAAUUCACCCCGCAGGGGUACGUUACCUCUCUCACCACCAAAUCUCCCUGCGGUUUGACUUCUCCCCGCACUAUCGGGACCUGGUGCCGCUCCACCGCCUCUAACCCUUCCCUUUUGGGUUACCCUUCGCUCGUUCCGCAGCUCAUGCAGGAUGGUUGUGAAGGUCUCCAUCUGCUUUUCCAUUCGUUCCAUCCGGUCGAACAUGACUUUUUCCCGUGCUUCGCUGAUUACCUCCCUCAGCGUCACGGAAUCGUUAAGCCUCAUGUCACCCCCUUGUGCGCUACUUCCUCCUAUCUCCAUUGCUUUUCGCUUACUCCACCCCUCUUCUUGCUAUCGACAGAAGCUUUUUGCUCUGAUUUCCCACAGACGGCGCCAAAAUGUUGAUGCGAGAUUCCGGUUCUCCUCGUUCUACGACCAGGAUCUCUGCUCGAUCAACUUCACCACGACCAGAAGGUCUCCCAGUAAUGCUUCCUCUCCAGAUGUCCCUGCACAAACAGACAAGUCAGAGUACGCCGGUUGUUCUCCCGGCGCAAACCCUCCGACGCUCAAGUCAGAUAUCAAGGUUCAGGGAACGCUUGCCACAGGUCUUAUGGCUUUUUCGUGGUUUUUCUCUUUAAUCUCAAAAAUGCCAACCUUUUUACCUUCGUUGGCUACCUUUUUAUAGGCUUCCUCUGAAUCUCAGUCUUCCGCUCUUUUCGAGACGGUAUGGGACUCUAACUGCUGCGUUAUGGGCAAACGUGGGGUCUAGCGUGUUACGCCACGGUUCAGGGGAAAGCGUGGCUGUCAUGGCUCUGUGGGACCUUGCGUGUUACGCCACGGUUCUGGGGAAAGCGUGGCUGUCAUGGUUCUGUGAGAUCUUGCGUGUUACGCCACGGUUCUGGGGAAAGCGUGGCUGUUGUGCCUAGAUUUUCGUGCUGGAGAGCAUGUCUUGCCAACUGCCGUCGACCGGGUCUCCUCGCCUCUCGACCUCUAGCCGGAAUGGCCUUAUGCCUCUUAUAGGAAAUUAGCCUCACGGAUGACAACAUCGUGGACGAGCAGGAUAUUUCUGCUCCUGUUCUUCCGCGCACCAGGCUUUUACGGAACACACCGGUUCGCAGAACUCCGCCAUCAGAUAUCUGCUCGUCAUUCCUGGUCUCGUCAACGUAUUUAUCCCAAACAGUAUCUCUCCCAAACAGAGGGAAGUGAAUGAAGUCCAUUAAAUAGACUAAGGGUCCUUAGCCUAACCUAGAUACGACUUUCCAUGAGAAUUACCAAUUGAAUUAAAGGCUAUAUAGAGGAAUAGACUAGAAAAUUCUAACCAUUUUUUAAAUUAACUUAAAUAAUAAUGACUGGAGGUAGAGGUACGUAAUUUAUUUAAGUUUAUAAUCUAAACUAUAUUUGGAAAAAUACUCUUUUCAUCUCUAAGGUUUGAUGCAAUAGCCUGUUUCAUCCUUACUAUUUAAAUAAUAUCCUAUUUCAUUCCUAUUUUUUAAGCAAUAGCCUGAAACACCCUUUCAUUAGCUUAUUCUUAACUUAACUUCAACAUGGUCGAAAUAAAUAAAUAAAUGAUCAAUUAGUAUUGUUAUUCUACCAAACGUAAUUACAGACUCCUUUGUUUACUUAAAAAAAAUACACACUAAAUACAUAACAAAAUACAUUUAAAAAUAUUGCAGAAUAAAAUAUAUAAUGCAUUGGAAUUUUUUUUUUAUCUUUUAGCUUAUUCUUGACCUUAAUAAAAACAAUGAUUCUUGAUGAAAAUUAUUAUUAUUAUUAUUAUUAUUAUUUUGUUGACUUUUAUUAAAAAAAAGAAUUUAAUGAACACACAUAUAUGUGUGUGUGUGUGUGUGUGUUGCAUAUUCUUUAGUUUCAUUAAGUUAUACUUAAAUUUUAAAUUUUAAAUUUAUGCAAAAAAAAGUCAAAUGUUAUUCAAUUAUUCUUGAGAUAUUUAUUUUAAAAAGCUUUAUAUAUUUAUUUAACUAAAAAUCCUAUUUUGCUCUCAAUGAAUUAUAGAGUAAACUAUUAUAAAUUCACGGAAGGGUAUUUUGAGCUAUUAUUUGAAAAAUAAGGAUGAAACGAGUUAUUUUUUAAAAAAUAAGGAUGAAAUGGGCUAUUGUACUAAACCCUAUAAAUGAAAAGAGCCUUUUCCCAAUAUAUUUCUAUAUAUAUUAUUAAUAUUAUUAUUAAGCUAACACAAGGAUGAUGUAAAGCAUAUGUACGUGCCUCUAGACAGCAAAUUCAGAGAAGCAUUAUUGCAAAGUCAACAGUUAACCGUUCAAAGUCAGCGGGACAAUUACGUUUGGCCCUUGCUUGGAAAUUUCUAAUUUCAAUGGCAACAAAGUCAGGGGAAAAUUAAUUGUUCAAAAUCAAUAUACAAACAUGGUGGCCCUUGCUAAGAAGAUAACAUGCACGAUAAGGAUAAACAAUUACCCUAAUCUUUCUUUUGUGGACGUGUUAAUAAAAUAAAGACAGAUUGUGAAAGAGGACGUAUCUACAGAUGGCCGAUUCAGAACUUAAUUAAGAUCAUUCGUUAUAUUUAUUUUUAAUUGAGACAGAGCCUCUCAUGUUGGCGUUAAUAUGUUAGAUAAGUAUGAAUCUGAUGCAUAAUAGUACUUUUGCAAUUUUGUUUAAUUAAUUCUUAAGUUGAAAUAUAAAACAAGUCUUCCCCAAUCAACCACGAAGAAUUAAUACGCAUUUACUUUUUUAAUCGGAAAUUUAAAAUUAGUCCGAAUUUGGUUGAAGUGUUAAUUGAUGGUUUGAAUACAAAUGUCUAUAUAUGAUUUGUUUUUUUUAAUAUCUAAAUAUAAUUGACAUUACAUUUGUUUUUAUAAAUAAAAAAAAUCUUAAAUACAGUUAUUUAACAUUUAUAUCCUUGUAAGUUAAAAUGAAUAAAGGGCUUAAGUUUUAUAGUUUAGCAAAUAAGUAUAUUUAAUAGAGAUGUUUUGAGAUAUAAUAUUUACUUCUUCGUGCCUUUUCUUAUUUAUAUAAAAGUCAUAAAAGUUUACUCUUUUUUUUAAAUUCAAAUGUAAAUGUUUAAAAAUCAUAUAUAAAUUAAAAAAACAAACGAGCAAUUUUAAAAAAAUUUGAAAUAAAAAAAAUUCAAAUUUUAGACUUUUAACCAAUAAGCCUCCAUUUCACCUUGGUAAAGAGAGUAGUUGGCUACCAUGAAAUUUCUGAUCCCUGUCCAGUAUGGGCGUGUCAUGAAUUAAGCCAAGCAUUUUAAUUUUUGCCUUAAAAAAAUUUCCAUUCUCUGCUCUAGAAAAUUGAAAAAAAAAAAAAGUAAAACAUAGUUCACGUUGGUAUUAUUAUUAUAGUAGCAUCAUAAACAUCUCAAUCGUAAACCAACACCAGUUUUAUUUUGUGUGUUUACCAUUUUUCCACGGCAAUGUUACAUGGAUGUUGAUUGUACGACUUUCUUUAUCCAUGCCUUGCAUUGUUGUGUGUUUGGGAUUCGUCGGAGACUUUUCUUGGCAUUAAUCAUCUCUCAAAUUUUCAUAUCCUAACACAUAAUCAACGCGCGGACUGAAGACUUUUCUUGGCUUCAAUAAUUGAUGCAGAUUAUACACAACAGUAUAAAUUGGCAUGGAGUCCAGGAGUUUCGAUAUAACAAUAUAUCCUCAAAGCUAAUGAUAAUUAUAAUGUCAUCCAAAUUGUUCCUUCUAUUUGAAAAUAUAGCUCUGUUUUCUGUGUUGUUUUUUCAAUUGAAGCCCACAAUUGCUGAUUCUAACAAAAAAACGAUAAAGUGCAUUGAUGAGGAGAGAGAAGCGCUUCGCACUUUUAAACAGAGCUUGGUGGAUGAACAUGGCGUUCUGUCUUCCUGGGGAAGACAAGAUGACAAAAUUGACUGCUGUAAAUGGAGAGGAGUCCGCUGUAGCAACACAACAGGCCAUAUCAAGGUGCUUAAUCUUCGAACAUCCGACAAGGAAAACGCUCAGAGGAAGGUCUUGAAAGGUACAAUUAGUCCUGCUUUGCUUGAAUUGCAUGAUAUAAGACAUUUGGACCUUAGUAACAAUCACUUCAGUGCAAGCCCAGUUCCUAAGUUCCUUGGUUCGCUCAGCAAAUUGAGGUACCUCAAUCUCUCUUGUGGCACACCUUCAGAAUUCCCUCGUAAAUUGCGGGACCUUUCAGGAUUGGAAUAUCUCAACCUAGAAAACUCUAGUUUAUUUAGUGUGGGAAGCUUAGAGUGGCUUUCUCGUCUUUAUUCUUUAAGACACCUUGACCUGAGUUACAUUAAUCUCACUAAAUCUAGUGAUUGGUUUCAAGUAGUUGCCAAGCUCCAUUCCCUAAAAACAUUAGUCCUACGCUCGUGUGCUCUUCCACCUAUCAAUCCAUCGUUUAUUUGGCACUUCAAUUUGAGUACGUCUAUUGAGAACCUUGAUCUUUCUGACAACAAUCUCCCUUCUUCUUCAGUAUACCCUUGGCUUUUCAAUCUUAGUAGGAAUAUUCUUUAUCUUGACCUUGGCUCUAAUUCAUUACGAGGUUCAAUUCCAGAGGCUUUUCAACACAUGGUUUCUCUUAAAAGUCUUGAUCUCUCUGAUAGUGAACUUGAAGGUGGGAUUCCAAAAUUCUUUGGAAACAUGUGUAGCUUACAAAAGUUAGACUUGCCUCAAAACAAACUCAGUGGACAAUUCUCGCAGGUAAUUCAACAUCUGUCUGGUGGAUGCGUGGUGAAUUCACUAGAGCGGCUAUAUUUAAGUUAUAAUGACUUCACGGGGCCAGUACCUCAUCUUGGAGGAUUUUCAUCACUGGAAGCACUGAUGCUUGGCGUUAAUCGUUUAAAUGGAACAAUAGACAAAAGCCUCAGCCAGUUGUCGAAGCUCGAGUCUCUGUCACUACGUAUGAAUUCUUUCACAGGUGUUAUCUCUGAAACUUUUUUUUCCAAUAUGUCCAACUUGCAGAUGUUUGACUUGAAAGAGAACUCUUUGACUUUGAAAUUGAGCCAUGAUUGGGUUCCUCCUUUUCAACUGAAAUGGUUAAGUCUUGCCUCUUGCAAGAUGGGACCUCAUUUUCCAAAAUGGCUUCAAACUCAGAAUCAGCUUGUACUUCUUGACAUCUCCAAUGUUGGAAUCUCAGACAGUAUUCCUGAUUGGUUCUGGGAUUUGUCCAGUGAACUCUCUUACUUAAAUCUCUCUAACAAUCAUAUCAAGGGUAAACUUCCUGAUUUGUCUUUAAGGUUUGAUGGUACUCGUAGUGGUGGUACUAGUAUAGACAUCAAUUCAAACCACUUUGAGGGCCCAAUUCCACCACUUCCUUCAAAUUCGCUGUUCUUAAAUCUCUCUAAAAAUAAGUUCUCAGGAUCAGUUUCUUUCUUAUGUUCUAUUAGUGAAAACACUUGGAACUUUUUAGAUCUCUCGAGUAACUUAUUGUCUGGAGGGCUUCCCGAUUGUUGGUUGCACUUUGAUAGCCUAUUCGUUCUUAACUUGGCAAAUAAUAGAUUCUCAGGACAAAUACCGGAUUCGAUGGGUUUCCUAAAUAACAUUCGGACACUGAAUUUACACAACAAUAGGUUAGCCGGGGAAUUGCCUUCAUCUUUAAGGAAUUGCUCCCAACUGAGAGUUUUGGAUCUCGGGAAGAACGCAUUUUUUGGUGAGAUACCAACGUGGAUAGGGGAAAGUCUACAAAAUUUGAUUGUUCUUAGCCUAAAAUCUAAUAACUUUCAUGGAAAUAUAGCUUAUCAAUUGUGCCAUCUGGGAUUUAUUCAAAUCUUGGAUCUUUCUUUAAACAUUAUAUCGGGAAAUAUACCAAAGUGUUUCAAUAAUUUUUCAGCCAUGACCUAUGAAAGAUGUUCCAAUCCUACCAUUGGGUUCGCCAAAUCUUUCUUAGUUCUCCCUGGAAUUGGAUAUUACUAUAAAUAUUUGGUCAAUUUACUGUUGACUUGGAAAGGAAGUGAAAAUGAGUACAAAAGUACUUUGGGACUUGUAAGGUGCCUUGACCUUUCGAGUAACAAAUUAGAUGGAGCAAUUCCUGAAGAGAUUAUGGAUCUUGUGGGGUUGAUUGCCUUAAACCUUUCAAGAAACAAUUUAACCGGACCAAUCACUCCGAAGAUUGGUGAGUUAACAUCAUUGGAUUUCCUGGAUUUGUCUAGAAAUCUGUUUUCUGGAAGUAUUCCAUCUAGCCUCUCUCAGUUAAGUGGUCUUGGCGUCUUGGACUUGUCGUACAACAACUUGUCAGGAAAAAUCCCAUUAGGCACUCAGCUCCAGAGCUUCAAUGCUUCAGUGUACGCUGGAAAUCUUGAACUUUGUGGCCUUCCACUUGCAAAUAUGUGUCCGGAUGAAGAAUCAACUCCAAGUCCAGGCACAGACGAUGAUUCAGACACUCUAGAAGAUGAGGACGAUCAGUUUCUAACUCUCGAAUUUUACGUGAGCUCGAUUCUUGGUUUCUUUGUUGGAUUCUGGGGAGUCUGCGGAACUUUAAUGCUGAAUAGGUCGUGGAGACAUGGUUACUUCAACUUCCUGACUGGUAUGAAAGAUUGGGUCUAUGUGACAGCAGCUGUGAAUAUUGCCAAACUGCAAAGAAAGUUUAAGAACUAACUAAACGGUAAUACUCCUUAACAUUGGGUUUCAGUCAUUGUUGUCAGCUCACGUGCUUUUAAUUUCUUCAUCCUUAAAUUUUACUUUUUCUCUUAGCUUUUGUUCUGCCAACUAAUUGUUCAUCUUCCUUUUUUUUUUUUUUCAUUCACCAUCUUUUUGGCAGGGUAUCUCUGGGAUGACAUCUUGCCAUUAUUAUUCAGAGUGGUCAUUUGAUAUUUGGAAUCUUUCUGAAAAUUAACUCAUAUGAUGCACAUUGUAUUAUUGAGUAUAUGCUUAAAGAAACUUGUAUGUGGUUCUCCUUAGACCAUCGUCGAUCUAUGCGUUUAUAUACUCUGGUUAGAGUUCAAUUAUGCUAUUAAUCCAUUACAGCAAUAAAGGCAGUCAAAUUCUGCUCUGCUAUUGAUCAAUGUUUGCUCUUUUUUCCUUUUCAUUGGGUGAAUAAAUAAUAAAAGACAAAUCGAAUCUUUCUAUUUAAAGAGUUGUUGACUAAUAAAACUACUAAAUGGAUGAUAAAAUUAAUUAAUUAAUUAAUUAAACUAGAAUAAUCUUAUUGACAAAGUAGGUGGUAGGUUCGUACGAUUCCGGAUCAUUGGUACUAAAAUGUGAAGGAAGAGAUCGAACUUUACAAGAAUUUGUUCUUACUGUAUUCGAACUGGUAAUUGAUUAAAUUUGAUUAAAUUUCUAUGAUGGUGACAUAUAAUGACUUAAAUAUUAUUUUCAGAGAAUAUCACACACGACUUUUCUAUCCUAAUUUUUAUCAAUUUUCCGAACGUAUCAUCACAUACCAUCACGUUCAAGACCCGGCCAACUCUAUAACUAAGGUGUUACUAACGCACAUUAAUAUUACAUCGCAUUUUCACUGCCAUGGCCAAUUUCAGCGUUUCUCAUCAUUACUCUCUAUUUUGGCAAGUAUGGUAGGAAUCUUUAAAACAACGUACAAGAAUCAAGGGGAAGAAAUAAGAAACUGUAAAGAAACAUAAGUGGGAUAUAUAGUUUGUGAGAGCAUUCAAUUCAGUUCGUGGGGGCAUAAGCUUAAAUAAUUGAUGCAAUUUUAAGAGGUUUUUUUCCCCCCCUUGUACAAGGCUAGCUCUGUGUGUGACACUAUGAGCACACAACAGUGGUGAAUAAUAUUGCCAAAUUGCAACAAAGCUGUAGGGGCUAAAAGUUAAGUGUUUGAAUAUAUAAUAUUACCAAAUUGUUAAUGCUUAUAGGCUAUGUUUGGGAGCUAGGAUUAAUUGUAGGAUUGGACUAAUUAUUGGGACGAAAUAUUAAUACCAUGUUUGGCAUGCUUACUGGGAUUGGACUAAUGGAAUAAAUUCAAAUUUUAAUCCUAAAUUCAUGGGAUCAAUAAUCAUAAUUUUUAUGUGGGUUUAGUUGGGACUAGAUACUGUCAAGAAAAAUAUUUGUCCAUUUAUAAUAUCUUCCAUAAUUUAUUACACCAUUUUAUUUAUAACUUAAAAAUUAUUUAUUUAUGUUUUUAAUUAAGUAAUUUAUUUUUAUUCAUGAUUUACUCAAAAGUUAUUAAUUAAUUUAUUAUUUGAAUAAUUUUAUUUAUUUUAUUUAAUUAAAUGAUAUAUCUCAUUUGAAAUAACUAAAUUUAAAUAAUUUAUACUUCUUUAUUUGUGUGUGUGUAUAUAUUUCUUUUAAGCUUGUUAGUCUUCUGAACUUGUAAUUGGAGAAUUUUGAAACUUUCGCUACAUUUAUGAUUUGAGAGAGAAAUGUCAAGUGUUCAAUUUGUGGAUUUAUUUAAUAAAAUUUGAGAUAUUUCAGUUUGAAAUUUUGUAUAAGGAUUUCGAUAUGUAAACAACCUCCUACUACCACGUGCUCCACACGUGAUAAAUUUGGAGUGUUACAGUUGUUAUGCUUUACAUAUCCAAAUUGAUUAAGUUGAAAAUUAGGGUAAGAUGAUUAAGUUCUAGGGUUUUACUCAAGAGAAUUCAAGAGAGAAAAGAUGAGGAAUUUAAGAAUUCAGAGGAGAGAGAGAAGAAUUAAUAAGGGUUGGAAUUAAUUUUAUUAUUGCUUGCUUAAAAAAAUAAUGAGAAUCACUUAUUUAUAGUAGCUCAACACACUCCUAAUUCUAAUCUAAUUAGAAUCUUAAACUAUAAUUGCAACAAAAAAACCUAAUCCUAAUAGGAAAGAAGUUAAAAUAAACUACUACGGUUAUGUAGAGAUUUGAUUGAAUUGCUAAUCUUAUAAAACCAAAACUCUGCCCAUGAUCUUUGACUAGGACCAACAUAAGUUGCACACAAGCAAUAAAAUUGAACCAGAAUCUAUUCAAUAUCCUCUCCAGUCUCAAAAGACAUAACCACUCAAUAACAUAAAUUAAACAGCAUAAAAGAAUGAAUCAGAAACAAAAUCAGAGAGAGAGCAAGACAUAACGUGGUUCAAUCUUUUUUUGAGUCCGCACUCUGUUAUGAGUAAAACGCAAGCUUUCAUGUCGUUUUACAUUAAGUAAUCACGAGCUCCCUCACGUGACUUCAUAACGGAAUUAACCGAUAGCCAAUACGCUGCCGUUUGCUCUGGUUUAUAUUUGAAUUCAUUAACUCUACAGGUUCUAAUAGAUUCUAAUAUGAUUUUGUUUCAAAAUCAAGAUUGAAGAUCAUCCACGGCAGUAGGAGAUUUAAGUUGGAUGACUUAUGGUGUUGACAGUCUUUUUUUUCUUUUAUUUCCAGAAUUUAUUUCCUCCUUUGCAAGUUGUGUUCUCUCAAGACUCACAGCUCUGCCAAAUUCUGGCGUGAAGGCUUAUCACCUUCCUCUUUAAUGCAGGUUUGCAGCCCACAUCAGUCGCCAGUUGGAGUCAAAUGAAAAAUUUAGGGUCGUGUAAUUAGUCUUGUGGUGAUUUAAUAAGAAUGCAGUGAAGAAUUAAGAGAUAUUCAAGUGCCUGCAAUUGUGUUGGUUUCCCAUCUCUGCAAUUGUGCCAGAGGGAUAGUCCAAAUUCUUGUUGCGUUCUCUCAACUCUCAAUUCUCAUGAUAUUAGUUAUAGCUUCGUAAAGAACAUUUGGCAACAUCAGAUGGAGGAAUCUGAAACAGAGAUGGCGUCAUUGCCCUAUGAUUGAGGCUUUGAAUUAACUCUUUCCCAGCAUGUUUCUUUGAUUCAUGAGGAUAUACAUUCUCUUUUUUUUUCAUAAUACAUUAAUUAAAAAUUAUACAAAUGGAAGAAGGAAGCAAGUAAAGUAAAUCAAACAUUGAACAUGACAAGGUACAAAAGGCAAGCGAGUCUCAGGUAUCAAGCUUUCCUAGGCGACAAUCAAGUUCAACAAAGCAAAGGUGAAGCAAGGCAAACAAGAAUUCAAGCCGCACGUCAUAGACUCACCAAGCUUCAACACAGUGAACAAAUCAAGGCUGCUUACCAGUAUUUGUUGUACAAGCAAACUUCUCAGUUUUAUGUCACAACAGAUGGUAUCUCGUGUUCUUGAGCAGAGAAGAUACAAUAAUAUUUACCAUUAGAAUCUGCUAUCAACUCUGUUAAAUGUUGUUGCUCCAUGACCUGUGUCUUCAUUUUCGCUAUGCUUUAAAUUUUCUUAAAAUCUAACUCAUUUUGAAAAAAAAAGAAACCCAUUUCAAUAAGACCAGUUUAUAUAAAUGCAUAAAGAAGCCAAGCCAGAUUUGGCUGGCGAGUGGUGAAUUGUGUGAUCUAAUUGUGAUCGUAUAUAAAGCCAUUAAGUUUACGGUUUGGUUAAUUAUGUACCGUAUAACAAGGUCUUUAUAAUUUCAACUUGUUCGUGAAUAAUCAACAAAGCUAUUGCUCUGUUCUUCAAGAGGACUUGGGCCAUAUCUUAGGCUGAACCUCAACUACUCUGUAUUUGAUUACUCUCUGUGAUUUGUUGAUUCUGUUUUCAUUUGAUUACUCUGUUAAUUCCUUUGAUUCUUGAUCAAAUAUCAAAAAGUUAAGUGAGGUCCUGGAGGAUCAUGAUCGGUCAUCUAACACUCUCAAACACGAGUUCUUGAUCUAACUUCCACAAACCUACGAAGUAUUUUGACUUUAGUUGGCAAAUGAAAACAAGGGUUUUAACAUCAAAGGAAAUGGUACCAAGGAAGAUGGCCAAUUCGGGAAUUAAGAUCACAAAGGAAGCAGAGGAGCUCUGUCGUUGGUCCCUGCAGUAUGCAAGUGAUUUUGAUCCUAAUCUCUCAACUUCGCAUCUAUUAUUGCUGGCCUAUCUUCUUCCGACACAGAGGGACAUUUCAAGGCAAGUACUACAAGAAUUUGCAAUUGCUUCACUUUUCCUUGACCCGGUUGAAUUCCAAUGACAAUGGGGUCCAUUAUCUCAACAAACCUAUUAUUUUCAAUAUGUUUCUUGACCCAAUCCUUAAAUAAAGUUUCAUCAAGGCAACAUUGAAAAUCAUAUGUCUUCUUGCCAAUCAAAAGCUCAAGCAGCAAGGCAGCAAAGCUAUUAACAUCGCAAUUUUCUCUGAAUGCUCCAUGAGAAUGGUAUUUAUGUUACCAUCCAACUCAAACCUGGAAAGAUAUUGUCUAUUUUAAGUCUUAACAAGGCCGCAUGGUUUUGUUUCUAGGACACCCAUACAUCCCAAAACGCAUAUUAUCAAUAAAGGUGUGGAUCAGCUCUUAUAAACCCAGCAUCUCUUUUGUACUUUGUCGAUGUGAGAUUGUCUUGGGUGUUACAAUUCAGGUGCCAUUAAUCCAAAUUUGGCCAUUGUGUGAAGUACUCUUAUGUGUAUUUUAACCUCUGAAACAAAAACUGGUGACAUGGAGGUAUUACAUGCAUUAUCAUUAAAUUAAUAUACGAGCUACUCUCAAAGUAUGUGUUGUAUGCAUGUUCUUAAUGUGGCUCACAUUCAUGAGUUUGAGAUUAAUUAAGGCUACUCACAUUUUUAUGAUUAGAUAAUGAUAAGAAUAGUUGUUCCAUAUUUCUAAAAAAUUAAGAUAAGGAUAAUUUCUCAUUUUCUUGAUGGAGGGAAGUGAAGGAAGUCCAUAAAAUAGACUAAGGGUCCUUAGCCUAGCCUACAUACGACUUUCCGUGAGAAUUACCCAUCGAAUUAAAGGCUAUAUAGAGGAAUAGACUAGAAAAUUCUAACCAUUUUUUCAAUUAACUUAAAUAAUAAUGACUGGAGGUAGAGGUACGUAACUUAUUUAAGUUUAUAAUCUAAAAUAUAUUUGGAAAAAUGUUUUUUUCAUCCCUAAGGUUUGAAAUAGCCUAUUUUAUCCUCACUACUUAAAUAAUAGUCUGUUUCAUUCCUAUUUUUUAAGUAAUAGCCUGAAACAUCCUUUCAUUAAUUUAUUGUUAUUAUACCGUAUAAUUCAUUGAGGGCAAAAUAAGAUUUCUAAAUAAUGAUCAAUUAUUUUAAAAUAAACUCUCAAAUACAAAUAAAAAAUAUCUGUCUUUCUACAUAAAUUUAAAAUUUAAGGAUUACUUAAGAAAGAAAAAAAUAACAUUAAAUAAUAUGUAAAAUAUACAUUUAGGACAAAAAAAACCCAUAGAUUUCACAAGCACUAGAUUAUUAUUUUUAUCCUUUAGCUUAUUCUUAACUUUAAUAUGGUCGAAAUAAAUAAAUAAAUGAUCAAUCAGUACUGUUAUUCUACCAAAAGUAAUUAUGGACUCCUUUAUUUACUUAAAAAAAAUACACACUAAAUACAUAACAAAAUACAUUUAAAAUACUGCAGAAUAAAAUAUAAUGCAUUGGAUUUUAUUUUUUUUAAUCUUUUAGCUUAUUCUUGACCUUAAUAUAAACAAUGAUUCUUGAUGAAAAGAAUUAUUAUUAUUAUUAUUAUUAUUAUUAUUAUUAUUAUUAUUAUUAUUAUUAUUAUUAUUAUUAUUAUUAUUAUUAUUAUUAACUUUGUUAAAAAAAGAAUUUAAUGAACACACACAUAUGUGUGUGUGUGUGUGUUGCAUAUUCUUUAGUAUUAUUUUUGUUUCAUUAAGUUAUACUUAAAUUUUAAAUUUAUGCAAAAAAGUCAAAUGUUAUUUAAUUAUUUUUGAGAUUUUUAUUUUAAAAAGCUUUAUAUAUUUAUUUAACUAAAAUUUUUUUAUUUUACCCUCAAUGAAUUUCAGAGUAAACUAAUUAUAAUUUUAUUUUACCCUCAAUGGGCGUGUCAUGAAUUAAGCCAAGCGUUUUAUUAUUAUAUUAGCAUUAUAAACAUCUCAACCGUUACUAAGUACUCUAUGGUUCGGGUAAUCAAUGUUUGUGUGUGUGAACUCCUGAUUAUUUUCAUUUGUCUCUGUUUCUAUCAGUGUUUGGCCUGGGCACAAAGUUUUUUAUGUUCUAAUUUAUUUUCGAAAUCAAUUGACUUUGUAUCAUUAUGUUAUGAUUUAUUUUUUAAAUGAAUUGAAGCAGAGCAAAGCUCACAACGUGCCGCCCAGCCGAAAUGAAUUGAAGUAGAGAAUUUCAGGUUUUAUUAUCAGUAAAACUUUAAUGUCUGAAGUCAAGUACUUAAUUAUAAGGUUUUAAUAAAUUAAACAAUUCAAAUUUAUUCUUCUUUUUAAAUUAUAAAAAUAUUAUUAGUAAAAAUUUUUAAUAAUAAACUAAACUCAACCCAACAAAAAUGUAUUUUGGGUGUCAUCGUUUCUUUACCAGGCGCUCUGACUCUCUUUAAAGAACCAGUUGAUAAUUUUUCUAUCAAAUUAAAGCUCCUCAAAAUAUUCAAAUUUUAUCUUAGUUAAUGUAACUAAUAAAUAAAAUCUCAAAAUUCACAUAAAAAAUUUAUGAAAAUGUUGAUAAUUGUUACUAUAUGUUAUUUUUUUAAGUAGUUUCAUACUAGUGACAAUUUUAUAUUAGAUUGAUAUAUUUUUUUUAAUUAGAAGGUUUUUUAAAUAAAUUAAAGUAAUAACAUUUUACCCCUAAUGUUUUUAAUCUAUAUAAUAAAUAUAUAAUUUAAUCAUUUUAUAAAAUAAGUCACUAAUUUCAAUUGAAAAAAAAAUUGAAUUAAGGACAUAUUUGAAUAUAUAUGGCUUAAUAUCAUAUGGUUUAUAUAUAUAUAUAUAUAUAUAUAUGGACGUCGUUACUAAAAUAAAAAAAAAAUACAGUUUUUAGAACACUAACAGCCAAAGUCCCCAACGUAUAUUUAUUUAGAUUCUCAAGAAACCUUUGAGGUUGUAUGAUAUCAAAGUUGGAUUCAUUACACAUGACUAGUAGGCAUUAACAGGGAUCUAUUUACAAUUCUCCAGAUAACAAAAAAGCGGUAAAUCUAUUAAAUUUAUUGCGCCCAAUUCUCAAAAUCAUUUGCUAGUAACAGAAAGAGGACUUCACAACCCCAGUAAUAAGAACUCUUAACUAAAGAUGGUCGAACAGGGCAAAUUCUGUGCAGCUCAUCUCUCGCAUUCAGAUUCAAAACCACAACCACAAGAAGCUGCUGUCUAUGGCAAUUGAAUUGCUCCAUUUUUCCCUAUAAAUUUUCGUGGAAAAUCAUCAGUAUGAAUAGGACCACAUCAAUGUAAAUGUACAUGUAUAUAUAGCAGCCAUUCAUCACAAAUAUAAUUACAUGUUUACAAAAAUGAAACAUUUUUUAUUUAUCCUAAAGCACCUUUUCCUUCCUCAUUUUUUUUUCCCUCUUCUAUGGUUUGUGAGUGUGUGCAUUAUGCAUGAGAAAUAUUUACCUUAUGAUACUAAGGUGUCCAACGAUGAAGCCAUUCAAUUUCCGUAAGGUAAAUGAACCAAGCCCAACAGAAUAUUUACAGACCAUGGACAAAAGGGAGGAAGACAACAAAAGGGAGAACCAUUUUUGUAAGCCCACUUGUACUUUCAGCGACAACCUAAGUGGUUGGCUGUGUGUUCAAUCAGAUCAUCUUUCCAAAGCUUAGAGUAUGGCUUUAUAUUUAGUUUCUUCGCAAAGUUCCUCAGAUCACCUAAUUUCAUAUUUCUCAAGUGACUAGAAGUAAAGGGGGAAGAUGCCACAGCCUCAGUGCAGGACUCAAUUGAAUGGGAGUCUGUGAUUGAGAGGUCAUCCUUACCUGCACUAUCAUUUGGGUCUCUGUGUGAUUUUGAUAAGUCCAUUUCAAGGAUUGGCAAACUUGUCUUCUUUUUUAUUUUCUUUUUUGGCAGUGAAACUGAAAUUUGCCUGUCAUCCAGAGCACCAUUGGGCUCAUUUGCUUCAAUUGGAUGAUGGUAAACUAUUUUCUUGACUAUCUUUCUGUCCAUAAACUGAUUUGAACUGGGAAUGUCAGAGCCAAGUCCAGAUUUCAAUUGUCUCUUAGCUUUUGAAAUUAUAGAUGAAUUUGAAACAAGUUCAAAAGAAAGAAAACCUUCUCUUUCUUGAACACCUGGUGGAUUUGACUCAAUUUUUCUCUUAGCCUUCUGCUUUUGUGGCUGCACUGAGUACAAAUCAAACCUCUCAUCAUUAGUGGCAGUUUCAACCACUUGAGCUUCUCCUGAUUGCAUUGAUCCCUUAUCAGGCUCUGCCUUGGUUAUAUCUCUUCCUUCCUCAUCCUGCAGCAGUGAAUGUUGGUUAUCAGUAGGACUAGCUCUUUCAACUUUGACAAUGUUCUCAAAAGGUACCUUGGUUGUAUCCCUCUCUUCCUUGUCUUGACACUCUAAAAAUGACGGCAGGGCCGAAUGUUCAUUACCACUAGGACUAGCUCUUUUAAACUCGACAAUUUUUUCAAAAGGUGCCUUCAUUUUAUCUCUUCCUCCCUCAUCUUGCAGCUCUAAAAGUGAAGGCAGGGCAAAAUUUUCAUUAUCAGUAGGACUAACUCUUUCAACCUUGACAAUUUUUUCAAAAGGUGCCUUGGUUGCCUCUCUUCUUUCCUUGUCUUGCAGCCCUAAAAGUGAAGGCAGGGCAGAAUGUUCAUUAUAAGUAGGACUAACUCUUUCAACCUUGACAAUUUUUUCAAAAGGUUUUCUAUUCCCUUCUGCUCCUGAAGAUGAAGAUGAAGAUAAAGAGUCUAUCUUGCCAGUCAGAGUCAAUUUUGAUUCUUUGAUGCACCAUUUACGUGCAGCUUUCUGAGCAAAAUCACACAGUUUUUGAUUAACAUCACAGAAU
Molecule: long non-coding RNA, 55427 nt
Filed under: Citrus maxima (pomelo)
Lineage: Eukaryota; Viridiplantae; Streptophyta; Magnoliopsida; Sapindales; Rutaceae
Description: long non-coding RNA (CMAX_LNC003880)
Source: RNAcentral